Molecule: long non-coding RNA, 50860 nt
Filed under: Triticum aestivum (bread wheat)
Lineage: Eukaryota; Viridiplantae; Streptophyta; Magnoliopsida; Poales; Poaceae
Description: long non-coding RNA (TAES_LNC000387)
Source: RNAcentral
ACGACUUGACGGAUCAUGAGGCAAUCAGGCGGUCGGACGGCUGGGAUGGUGCGUGCCCCUUGAAUUUCCGCAAGUUGUACUAGAGCAAACACUAUGUGUGUUUAGAGCUUGUUUCUUGACAGGUGAGGCCAAGGCCAAGAUUCGAUUGGUUCUCAUCUUGACCAUGGUUUGAGUGUAUUCUUAGGAUUCCUCUGAUUUCAAUUUUAACAUCCCAAACAAAAUAUUUAUCUUAUUUUUAGGGACUGUCUAUUUGACAUUCGACUGUUUUUUAAUUUGACAACGUUCAAAUUUCGUAGCAAAUGAACAGAUGACACCUGUAUGUCCCAAAAACCCUCCCACCAGCCACUUUAUUUUCUGUAUUUCGGCAAAAACGGGUCAGGCAAAACCCUGACCCGGUUUCCAGUAAACCAGCCCCACCAAACCCUCGCUGGACCACAGCUAACAGCUGGCCACAACUUCCCUGCUUGCCAUCAACUUGCCACGCACGGAAAAGGAAAGGAAACCCCUCUCCACCCCUCCUACAUAACAGCAUAAAUCUCAGCAUUAAUUUCAUUGUUAAUCUCAACAGUAGAGAAAAUUUAAUACUCUGUAAAUAGUUCAUCAGUAGCAGUAGAAAAAACUUGCAUAGUCGAAGAAAUUACACUGCAACAACACAUUAUGCCUGAAAUGACAAUAGACAGGACAGUAGCAAAACAAUGCCAACUUACACUGAAAAACAAGGUAUUGCCUAAAAUGGUAACAAACCUACAGUGUAACUGCCAAUGAAUUACAGUGAAAUUUGUCAACUUACACUGAAACUACCUAUGGAAUAAACUGCAAUACAACAAUAAUAACAGUGUAAAUCCUGUACCAAUUAUAGUAAUUCGCAGUGUUAAAGUGUACAGGAUAAAAAUACAAAACGAAUUACAAUGUAAAACUGCCAAUGAAUUAUAGAGGGAAAUGGGGAAAUGGAAUGUAACACAAUUUUUACACUAGCAGAAACUUUUCGAAUUGUACUAUAAUUCAUCGGCAGAUGGGGAAAAUCCCCCUAGAGAUUACAGUAAUUACAGUGUAAAUCCUUUGGACUGUUCUAGAGAUUACAGGAAUUAUACUGUAAUUCCUUUGGACUAUACAUAUGUUUUUUGUACUAACACUGACAUUUCUUUUCCAAAAAAUGCAGAUGGGGAGCAUGACAAGGACAAUAACAGAAGACGAACUACUGUCAAUGUCACAGGAAGAUCUCAUCCUAAAUGUAAGUACCAACAAAUGUCAAAAACUUAUAAGAGAAUGCUGAGUACAUCAAAAACAAAAUCUGGCACACAAAAACACUGCAGGAAUCAUUUUCUUUUACCGCGCUCCUACAAUCAGACAUUAUAUACAAGGUAAGAAAAAAAUUCUUACAAAAACAGUACUACUUUUACAGCUUCUUGGAAAAGAGAUGGGUUUCAUUUGUUGUGAUAAUACAGCAAGAACUAUAUUUUAUGAGCAUGUUUCUUACAGGUACAUUCAGCAAAUGGAGGUGCAUCAAGUAACAGAACUCAUAACAGCAACAACACAUCAGUCCAUUCGAUAAGAGAGGUACUUACAGCUUCAGAACUAUUCUGCAGACAUUCGACGAAAUGAAACUGAAACUACACCAACCGAAGAAGGUGCAACAGAAGAAAACCCCUGGCAUGCAGACCUUUUUGGCACCAUGAAUUUGGAACAGGUAAAAGACCAAAAUUCAGUAACAAGAUACAUACAUAGAAGUUGAAAACUAGUAAGAAAUAAAGUACUGAAGCAAAUUGCUAUGAAUGCAGGUGGAUGAAGAUGAUGACCCCAGUUCAGCAGCAACAAGAGAAAACAACAGUUGCCAGAACAAUGAAGAAACAGAAAUACCAGAAUCAGAGCACUCGCAUGAACAAGAUGACAAUGAAUACCUCGAUGAAGAAGACAUUGAGAAAUUCCUGCAAAAUGAGCAAGAGGUGCAUCAGAGGGCAAUCUAACUAGUAAUUGACAAAUGGAGGUGCAUCGAGUAACAGGCUGCAUCAGAGAGCAAGAGGCUGCAUCACAUGAAUAAUGUACUAAAAAACAGUAAAUAAUAAGAUGAACAAGCUAAUACUGAACGAGAGCAUCAUGGGAGUAUAACACUGUAAAUUACACAGUCGUAAAACAUGGGCAUGAGAAUUACACAGUAAUUACAAAAAAAAUAUGGGAGAAUUACACUGUAAAAUGGAAGAAUUACACUGUAAAAGCAGGGACAGUAGUUACACNNNNNNNNNNNNNNNNNNNNNNNNNNNNNNNNNNNNNNNNNNNNNNNNNNNNNNNNNNNNNNNNNNNNNNNNNNNNNNNNNNNNNNNNNNNNNNNNNNNNNNNNNNNNNNNNNNNNNNNNNNNNNNNNNNNNNNNNNNNNNNNNNNNNNNNNNNNNNNNNNNNNNNNNNNNNNNNNNNNNNNNNNNNNNNNNNNNNNNNNNNNNNNNNNNNNNNNNNNNNNNNNNNCACAGUAAUUUUGAGCUACUACAGUAAAAAUACACUGAUACUACAGUGUGAUUACAUAGUUAGUAACAAAGUAAAUACACUAAUAUUACAGUAUACUUACAUAGUUAGUACACUCAUAUAACAUUGCAAGUUACAAGGUAAGUACACUGACAUUAGACUACAAAAUACACUAAUAAUACAGUGAAAGGAAACUGAAAUUCGAACGACCAGCCACCUACAACUAUCAUCUAACAGCAAUAAUAUAGUGAAGGGGUAUUACAGUGUAACUUUGGGAGGUACAGUGAAGAAGCACAAGAUAACAAUACAUGGAGCACACCAACAUAAUACAGUGAACUUCAGAAAUACAUUACAAAUAUUGAUCGGGCAUGAAACUGCAGCAAAUGAAAACUAGGGGAAAAUACAGUCUAAGUCAGAGAUACAACACAUAGAAAUUCAGAACCACACUAUGAUGAAGGUAGUGCUACUACACAUGCACAGUGCAGAACAGGGGGUAUUACAGUCUAGAACAAGGGAAACUACAGCAGGUGGAAAAUAUGGGGAUGAAAUAAUUCUUGUCUACAAGGACACAUUAAUCCCAAAAGCAUAAUUACACUGAAAAUAUGGGAUGAAAUACACAGUAAUUACACUGGAACUACAACAGUAGCAAGGGAUUACAGUGUAAAUAAUCGUAAUUCUUGUGGAUUACACUGGAAACACGACCCUGGAAUUAACAAUACUUGUAGAUUACACUGAAAUUUCGAGAAAAUUACACAGUAAUUCUAGGUCAAAUUACACAAUAAUUCUAGAGCUCAAACUACGGGAUAAAUUACACAGUAAUUCUAGGUCAAAUUACACAGUAAUUCUAGAGCUCAAAUUACGGGAAAACAUUACACAGUAACUGUAGAUUGAAUUACACUGGAAAACAGGACACAGUAAUUAUUGGGCAAAAAAUACUAGAGAUUUGACCUAGCGAAUUACACUGAAACUACAACAGUAAAUCUAGAGUGAAAUGGGGCAAAAUACUAGUGAUUUCACUGAUACACUGAAACUGGGGGAAAAACCACAGUAAAACUAGAGUGAAUUACACUGAAAAUGGGGCAAAAGAAAAUAGAAGCACUAAAACUACAGGAACAGAAAAUGGGGCAACUUACACAGAAAUAAUACUGUGAAUUACACUGAAAAUGAGGCAAAAUACACAGUAAAUAUAGAGUGAGUUACAUUGAAACUAUGGGCUGAAUUACACAGUGACUAGUGCAAAUUCAUAGUAUAUGACAUUCAAAACUAUGGGGAUUACAGUCAGCCUGGGGCAAAAAAUGCAGUAAUUCUACAGUACAUAACACAGAAACUAGGGGGAUAUACAGUAACACUAAUCCUGCAGUUCAAUCACCCAGGCCUUAAAAGCACAUACAGACACUCACAGGAGAAUCUCCACUCACAGGCCAAAGAGGACAUGCGCAUUGCAUCUAGCACAGCCCAACUGAGGAAAGUAACCACACCUAAAGCUACGAACGCACCAAAGUACGAACCCUAGAACCAACAUCUACAACCCUAGAACCAACACACCAAAGGAGGAACACCCAUCUACCAGUAAACAGACCACCUACCAACGCAAAUCACAAACCCCGAACCACAAAAACUCCCAACUCAAAACCUAUAAAUGAUCCAUACAUCUAUCUGAAUCACAAAACUAAACGCACAUGAGCCUACCACGAGCCGACGAGGAACAAAAAAAUGGCGGACAACACAAAGCAGACAAGAAACCACGGCGGACAACGCGAAGUAGAACCAACCACUAAAACUACAAAUCACCUACCACGGAUCUACAACAACACGGCCCGGAACCACAGCACACACCUAGCACGAACCCUAACAAAAUCACACCAGCAACAGACCCUAGAUUUAGAAGCUACGCACCGAGAAAUUAACAAAAAACACGCGCUCGAGAGGGAAAUUGAGAGACCAACCAACAGCAGGAGUGGGGAAUCGAAGAGGAAGGAGAGAGAAAUCAAGCUCCACUGGUGGGGGAUCCCGGAAUCGACAUGAACAGCAAGGAAUCGCUCCGCUGCCCCGAGCGCCUCUUCCUCUCUCUGCCUCGCUAUCUCACUCCCUUCUCUCUACAGUGCCGCACAAAUGGAAGAGAAAAACAAUGCCAAAAAUUCAUAAAGGACAAAAACCGGGAGAGUGUGAGGGGCGACCCGGCGGAGCGGUAACGGGCUGGACAAAAAAACCGCACCCGACAGAGGAAAACAAGCCCGAAAACGAGACAGCGAAGCGCGAAUCUUCGUGCAACAGCGGACGGCCAGUGAUUUGAAUGUUGGCGAAUUGAAUAACAGUCGAGUGUAAAAUAGCAAAUCCGUAUUUUUAUGCAAGAAUAUGCAUGGUGAUUUGGAAGACACGGAAAAGUGUAAAAAAAGAUGUCGAUAUGUGUGAAACAUUUGGCAGUGUGAGGGAAGUGGGGUUCGAGACAGACGAGAAAAAAGUGUUAGAAAUCACCCCACCCCCUCAGAUCCGUCGUCAGUCACGCGUCUGUCUCUCCAUCUGCCCCAUGAGUCUUGAGGAGUCUGGCAAAUAAAGGUUGUCGGCAGGCUCAUAGAAUUUUAUAUUGGAGACGCGGAAUGUAAACACACCGUAAACUACAAAAUUUAUGAUUUGGCAAUAGGCUUUGGGCUAUGUGUUGCAUCCACAAGAUAAAGGGCUCCGUCAUUUAACGGAUCAUGUUUAAUUGAUCAAAAAAUAAUUACAAUUUACAUAUCUCUAUCUUGACUUAAAUUUGUUCCAUCGUUAGAACGCUCAAUCCUCUCUGCUCCAGUUCAUUUCGAUGCCGACGCAGACUCUCCUUUCCCGACACCCAUACCACCUCAGUUCACAUCGGUGUGUAGGGCAAAUAAAUUUUUUAUCGUAGCAAAGCACAGAUAUUGUGAUCAGAACAUCAUGCAUCUGCCUUGAAACACAUAUUAGUAUUAACCAUGAAUAGGUCUUUCACUAAGAAAGGAGAGCCUGAUUUUUCAUUAGAACAAAAGCUUAAAAGGAGCCCGGGUUUGAAUUAAAAAGCCAUCAAUCGGCCAUGGAUUACACAAGGCCAUCAUUACAACCAACAACGAGCGGUAACACACGGGAAAUAGAAAACAAAAGCGAUAAAUACAUAAGGUCGACACCGGGAUCAUGCCGCUCCUCUCCUAUGUCACAUGUUCUAUUCUACCUCACCAUCACUUUAUGGAGCUCAGCUGGCCACAGGACAUGGUCACGGCGUGAAGCCGGAGGAGCGCCGAUGAAGAUUUAGAUUAGAAUUUUACAUUGUAUAUGGAUUUGAUGAUUUUAAAACAGACGCAUCCGCCGGGCAUUUGGGGGCGAGGGAUUUGUAGAUGCUCUAAUGAGUUAAAAAUGCAUUGCAUGAACACACUCUGAACCAAUGUCUAGAGAACCCACGCGAAGCUAGAGCCCAUCGGCACAAGGCACACACAACGUGAAAGGGUUGCGACCACAAGCUAUAAAUCACAAGAGGCUCUCUCCCUCUUCCCCCUUUCUCUUCGUCUCUCGUCAUCUUUGCUCCCCAGCCAGCCGUCCACCCUUCCGCCCACCACCGCACACCAUGGACGAAAGUGGAUUUCUUGAGCGUACGCACCCGGGUCGCUCUAUCUCGGCCGCUCGUUCCGGAGUCCGCACCUCGAGAUGCUCAGCAGUUAUGAUCGUUUGCCUGGUUGGAUUACCGUGGCAUAUGGAGGUUACGGAGACCGUCGUCACAGGACCUUUUGGACGUACUAGGCUCUGCACGAAUUUGUUUGUUUGUGCCAGUUGAAAAAAUACUGGGAGCACGCCCGUGACACCGACGAUCGAGUCUGCGCGGCGGCCGUGUUCGUCCAUCCAGCAGACGAGCUGGAGGACAUAGCUAGCAUGCGAAUCAGCACCUUCAAGCAGCGUGUGUGAUUUUACGGAUGCAUAAAUGGAGCUCCGGUGGGUGUAUAUAUAGCCGGCUUGUGGUGUACGUGUUUGCAAGUUAGGCGGUUCACCAUGGCCAUGCAGUGGAAUAACUUUUUUAGUAAGGGUCACUCAUACGAGCUGCUGAACUUUUAAAAGGCAUACUGAAUCAUUUUGUAACCUCCUCUGAACGAGCACGGGCUGGCCGCUAUGGACAUCGCGCCUGGCGCGUUCAAGUACCAACGCAUGGGCCAACAUGCACCGCACCAUAGUAAAAAUCGCGUGGUGAAUAGAUUAAACAUUCUACUCCACCCUCGCAACACACAGCCGUAACUCGCUGCCGGUAAAAACGGUUUUUAUUACCACCCGUGACCCCACGGCAGGUGAAUGGACAGGCAAUGCAUGGAAUCUACUUUUGCUAUACGCGUGCUGCCUUCAGCCAAAGCCGAUACUGAUACGUCUCGUCGCACCGCAUCCUAUACAAGCACCCGGAUCCUUUGUGCAUAUAUAGCAUGUGGGUCAUGUAUUGACAUUCGCAGAAAAUCAACUACACCACUGCGCCCCACUCUCGUGUUCAGCCAGCAAAGAUUCCAAAGCAUCACCAAGUCCCCAUGCCCGCCCACAGAGUGCUCCGCAGAUGACUCCUCUGUCUCCUUUCUGGAGGUGUCUGCUUUCGAAGCCCACAUGUGUCUGUCCUUUUGUGCGAGCGGAUGGGCCAUCUGGUACAGUUCCCCCUAGCCCAAGUAGGCGAUCGCGGUCCCUUACUGCCAGAUAACGUGGCCCAUAAUAUUUUCCGUUCUGUGUAGCACACAUCCCAAUGAAUAUGGACGUCCAGGAUAGCAGUACCCGGGUGCGUAAACUCACCUGAAUGAUUUCGCACCAUGGACUACGUCUUCCCUUCCGUAGGCGCCCUCCCCGCACCCAACUACAGGCACCAGCCCCUUCUAGGCCGGGAGAACCUUCGCUUCAGCCUCCCGGGCAACUCCAACCGCUACCUCCCCCUGCGCAGCAAGGAGGCGGCCGAGGACGGAGCACGUGCACGUCGCAGACGCCGCGACCACCAUGCCUCCUCCGACUCGACCUCGGCGACCGAUGCCGCCCACGCCUCGACCUCCGCGACCGACGCCUCUGCCGCCAGGCGACGCAGGCACCGACGGCCCCGGCCCCGACCCCGACGACCCGAACGUGAGGAGCGCCCCGUGGAGGUCGCUGAUCGAGCGUGGGGGGGAAGACGUCUCCUCGCCUUCGCCUUCCUCGUGGUCACCGGCGCCGUGUCCGCCGUCCUUCUUCUCGGUGGGCAUGAGCUCUCCAUCUGGACCUACACCGCCGCGCAGACAUCCUGCACCUGCUCCCCCGCCGCCGGUACGCCUCUCCUCCCUCCUUCCUCCUCCCGCUCUUCCGUAUUGCAUUGCUCGGAACAUUCGAGAUUGACUUGAAGGCCAAAGAAGCCAAGAACUAGGCGUAGGGAGGCAAAAGAAGAGGGGUUAUGGCCGAAGCGGGCAGGCGGCUGCGCAUCCACCUCUCGGACGACGCCAUUGAUGGCGGAGCCGCCGCGGGCCGGGAUGGCGGGCGCUUGUUCGUAGAAUAGCGAGGCGAGAAGAGGGGUCAGACGCGCGGCAUUUGCCGGAGCGGCGGCGGCAGUGGCGGUGCCACGCCCUUAAUCGAGUUCUUGUUCUUCCAAGAACGACUCCUGGUCGUCCGCGCCAGCCAACUCGCCGUGGCGGCGCCGUUCUUGGAUCGCGGCGCUUCCCUUUGUACAAUAGCAAGGCGAGAAGAGGGGUUAGCAGCGGGGUAUUGGCCGACACGGCGGAGCACGCUCUCAAUCGAGUUCUUGUUCGUCCAAGAACGACCCCAGGUCUUCCGACCGACCACCUCGGCGUGGCGGGGGCGUUUGGGGAGGCGGCGCGCGGCGCAGAUUAAGCGGCGGACCGGGAGGAGCCCGGCGAGGGUUAACACGUUCGGGGGAGCUCCGGGCAUGAGAGGGUGGAGGACGCGCUCCGGUCGUGUCGUGGAGCGGCAGACCUAGUUGUUGCGCGUGCCGGCGUCUGAUUCCUGCUCGCUCGCCAUUGCUCAUAAUUGGGAAACUUGGUGCAAAUCUCUAACAUCCUAAAUGUUAGCAAAACUUUCUCAUAUGGGUGUAUUUUGGUUCUUAAACUAUUAAACAAUACAAUAUAAUACAUUUUGAUUAUGUGAAUGAUUCAUCUAAUUUUCUUUUAUGAUUGGUUGUGGUACAUUCUCUUUAAUGAACUAUUCUAGUUGCGAUUUUGAUGUAUUUUUUUCUUAUAUCUUUCAAUUAUUUUGAUUUAAAUUGCAACUGAACAACUCCCACAAAAUAAAAAUGUCAUAUUAUUUAAAUCUAAUCAUAUAGUGAUUGAUUAUGCAUUUUAGUGGAAUCCAUCGCUAAUAAUAAAAAUAAGUUUUUACUUACACCACUAUUUGUUUAAAGGGGAGCGAUAGGCGCCGGCGCGCCGGCCCAAAUUUGGGCCGGUCGCAGCCCAGGCGUUGGAUGUGUGCAUGCACGGCCGUUAGAUCUGGGCUCCUCCUGUCGUCUUCUCUUCCAAAAACAAAUCUGAGCGAUGCCGGUGAAGAACACGAGCAGCGGCGCUGCUGGCACUCUCCAUGGAUGAGCGAACGAGUAACCUCGAAGCACCGUCACUUCGCCGCCGGUCGCCGUCCUCGCCGGUGGUCGGUGCCUCCCAAGCGUUUCUCGCCGACUUCACGCAUGCAACACCGAGCGCUUGCAGGUUGCAGUCACAAAGUGCCAUGGGUCGCAGCUCCGGUGGCGGCGGUCGCCGGCCGCAGCGCUCCAUGGACGAACUCGCAGUCUACCUCCCUCGGUUUCUGGUCGCAGCAAAACCGCCUGCCAGUUAUAGCAAACGCGAACAACGGUUGCAGCAAAAAAGCAGCUCCUAUCAUUGCCGCACGCCAUUGUCAGCUUACCGCUCUCUCGUUGAAGCUUUUUCAGAAGCGGGUUGAAGCUUUCUCAUAGUCGGUUGCAGCUUUUCUCUGAUUUUGUUCGCCGGUCACUGCCAAAAGAAGGGUGGUAACAAAUUAUGUCGCCGGUCGUAGCAAAAAAUGACCGCGGUUGCAGCAAAAAAUGUGGUCACCGCCGUCGCAUGUUUAGCAUCACCAUUAAUGAUGUAGCAAAUCUCGAUGAUGGUAGUAGCAAACAUUUACGACGGAUGCAGCAAAAACACGUCUCGCCAUAUAACCAAUGCAGCUCGCGCGCUACAGGUUGCAGCUCGCCUUGUUGCGGGUUGUAGCAAAUUGCAACAAUGAUGGUAGCACUUUCACAGAUAGAGGGAGAGGAGAGGGAGGGUCAAGCUGGAAACUGCCCCUCAUGGCAGCACCUAGGGGGGACGUAGCAGCAUCUGUGGGGGAUUGUAGCAAAUCGCGACUAUAGUUGUAGCAGUUUCAAAGGUAGAGAGAGAGAGAGAGGAGAUCAGGAGAGGGACGGCCAAGCUGGACCCCCCUUGUAGCAGCACCUAGGGUAGCCAUGGAGCUGUGCUCUAGCUGGGGAAGAAAAAGGGAAGGGACGAGUGGAGGAGAGAGCUACAGAGAAAAGAUAAGAGAAAUACAGUGCGUGGGCCAGAAAAAAGUAUGAGUGCGUUGUCUCCCUGGUCGUACGAUCCAGUUGGAUCGCGUGGCCCGCGCGCGUCCGGCGCAAUGGUUUGGCCGGCGCGCCGGGUGGAAAUGUUUCCCUUGUUUAAAUAGGGUAAAUUACUUUGUAUUAUUUUCCUUUUAUUCUGAAAAAGCUUCUGCAUGCAAGUUUGGUCGAUUAUGAUGUGUUUUUAUCAGUAUUAUAUUUUUUUACUGUUUACCUAUUAUAUGUGAUCUAAACGCUCUUAUAUUGGUUUACUGAGUGAGUCUUAUUUUAUCACUUUAUAUGAGAAGUAAAAAAACAUACCUGUCAUGUAGCUACCUUGUAUCAUGUAUCCAUACCCCCAAACGUGUCAGCAGGUUGCUGCUGGGUGCUUGUGCCCUUGAGUCGUCGAGUCCGACUUUUUUCAUUGAUAGCCGACCAGUGUCUAUUUGUGCCAAUGCAACAUGUGCAUGUUUUCCAUCACAGCCACGUUAAAUUAAAGGACUGUUGGGCUGACAGCAUUAUUAUUUUUGCAAUAAUAGAUUCCGGCCCGUUAUGUAGCAAAGGCCCAUCUGGCUGUCAAUCGUUGUGCGAUCAAUCGUUGAUUCGUUGGCUCCAGGAAGCCGGUAGGGAUAUGUUUAGAAUAAUACCACCUCGGAUAUAGAAAUAAUAUGAUCAAAGUGGACCGACGACGGACAAAAAACGGACAAAAUUACGGUGGUAAGAAGCGAUAGCCGCUUUAUUAUUAGGUAAAGAUAAAGAUAAAGAUAAAGAUAUGUUCACUUCUACUUCGGUACACCCUCCUUAAACACAUCAAAGGCUAAGAUCUGCCCAUACCCCUUCGCUGUCAGGUCUUAUGUAAAAAAUCUACCCCGCGUGUCCACGCCGAUACCCCCGCGCGCCUGUGUAUCAGGGGCUGCGGGACCAGCCGAGCCGCUUGGCAGCCGUGAGGACGCGAGCCGUGCCGAGCCGUUAGCAUCCAUGGGCCCACAAUGUCAGAUGCAGGGUGUGUUUGUUUUCAAAAGUGGGCGUUGACCGGUGGGGGUGUACGUGUGGUCGUGGCGCGGACGGCCGUAUCGUCGUGCAGUUAACUGCUUGCACUAAUUGCGGCGUGCAUGCAGGCGCCGACUGCUCGCGGCCGAUCUCCUACCGCCCGCCUUCUGCCCUCGUAGUCCGCGCCCUCCACUGUCGCGCGUGCGGCGACCGCCCGCCUUCUGCCUCGGGCCGGCUGUUGACGCGACCGCUCGGCUGCCGCCACUGCGGCGACCGGCCCGCCAAACGCCAUCGAUGCCUCGCCUUCCGCCCGCACGCCUUCACACACCAGCCCUGCCGCGCCUGCCGCCCUCGCGCCUUCACACGCCACCGCUGCCGCGCCUGCAGCCCGCCCGCCUUCCCACGCCACCGCUGCCGCGCGUGCCGCCCGCCUUUCUCNNNNNNNNNNNNNNNNNNNNNNNNNNNNNNNNNNNNNNNNNNNNNNNNNNNNNNNNNNNNNNNNNNNNNNNNNNNNNNNNNNNNNNNNNNNNNNNNNNNNNNNNNNNNNNNNNNNNNNNNNNNNNNNNNNNNNNNNNNNNNNNNNNNNNNNNNNNNNNNNNNNNNNNNNNNNNNNNNNNNNNNNNNNNNNNNNNNNNNNNNNNNNNNNNNNNNNNNNNNNNNNNNNNNNNNNNNNNNNNNNNNNNNNNNNNNNNNNNNNNNNNNNNNNNGGCUCGCCCUGGCCACUCCCUCCACCCGCCGGCUAUAAAAGGCCGCCCCGCCCCUCUCUUCUCCACUCCACGCCACCGACACGCACCCGCCCCGCCCCUGUCUUCUCCAGUCCAUCUCAUCUCCACGCCACCGACACGCACCCCGACGAUGUCUUCGAGCGACUCCGACGAAGGCGCGUGGCCGGGCGGCGUCUGGCCGUUGAGCCUCACCAUCCGCGACACGGAGGACCUCGCCCGGUUCGGCCUGAUGGUGCCGCCGGUUUCGAAGGUGCCGGGGCCAUGGCGGAUCGGCGCAGACGGCGUCCCCACACGCGGCUCGCCACCGACGCCGGAGCAGCUCCACGCCUUCCCUGGCGCCCGGUACAACAGGAAGGCCCGCCGCCGCUUCUGGCGAGGCAAAAACUUCGAUGUCGUCCUCGGCGCGUUCAGGGACGCGGCGGCCGACCGCCCCGUCGGAGACAUUACCGGCGAGGUCGGCUGUUCUCGUCGCCGCCGCCGCCAGCUCCCACCCGCUCCCGGCCCUAGUACUCGGGCACAGCAGGCACCCCCUGCCCCGGCGCUGUCCCCGCUCCCGCCGGCGCAGGCCGCCCUCGCGCAAGACGGCGGCCCCGAUGACACCCCGGGGCUACUUGCGGUGCUGGCCCGGUCGGCAGCCGAGGCGGCGGCGGCGGCGCGCGAGGAGAGAGAGAUGCAGGCGGCCUUAGCGGCGGUGCGGGCGCAGGAGGCGCAGCAUGGCGGCAACUGGUGGGACGACGACUCCGGCGAUGACGGCGGCGAAGGAGGCGCUGGCGUUGUCGACCUCGCCGGCGCCAGCGACGACGAGUAGUUUAGUUUUAGGUUUAGAUUUAAAUUUCGUUCUAAGUUAUGUAAAAUAUCUUUAAGUAUGAAUGAAGUCGGAAUGGUUUAUCUGGAAAAAUAUAUCCUUAUGUUUAAUUUGAUAUUAGUCGUGCAACAAAGCUUCGAAAAAUAAACAAAAAUACAUGCAUUUGAGCAUUACGAGACGACAAGUGGUAAAAUAAAACUGAGACAAAACGGCCGGUUCGCUCAUAACAGAACGGCCUCCGGUAAACGAUGUGAAUUUUUCGAAUGACCUCAACGGUCUUCGGAAAAAUCAUGGAUAUUCAUAGAGUAGCAAAAAGCAAUGAAACUUUUCAUAGAUGCUAGUCAUUGAUUAAAAAGUCCUUUCGGAUGGGCCCUUCGCUACCCGUUGAAUGUAUUUGGAGACAAAAAACAAGUAGCGUCACGUCCGGAGAAUGCUUUAAUGUGUUUUCACCGCAAAAAUUGUAGAAAAUACAUAGUGGCAAAAAGCCACGAAAUUUUUCAUGCACACUAGUCAUGAUGAUACAACAGUCAGAAUUUUUUUUUGGGUUUAUUUGAGUUGGUAUGCCCACCCCCACACUCAAUCCAAGAAUUGAACGUAUUUGGACACUAAAAACAUGUUGCGUCACGUCUGGUCAGUGUUUUAGGUGUUUUCAUCAAAAAAUUGUAGAAAAUUCAUAAAGUGGCAAAAAGGUACGAAACUUGUCAUGCAUAGUAGUCAUGAUGGUAGAACACUAUAAAAGAAUUUGGAUUCAUUUGAAGGAUGUCGAAAAAAACUUAUUUUGGACGGGGCCUUCGCUCCUACCCGAACGGUCUCCGGAGAACGAGGUCAAUUUUUUGACAUAUUCGGAAUGACCUCAAAUUUUACAAGUGAGUUGUUAUGCCUACCCCCACACUCCUUCCAAGCAUUGAACGUAUUUGGACACCAGGAACAUGUUGCAUCACAUCCGAGGGGUGCUAUGUGCUGUUUUCACCGCAAAAUUGUAGAAAAUUCAUAAAGCGGCAAAAAGCCAAAAAACUUGUCAUGCAUCCUAGCCAUGUUGGUAGAACACUAGGAAAAAAAUUUGGGUUCAUUUGAAGGAUGUCGGAAAAAAACUUCUUUCGGACGGGGCCUUUGCUCCUACCCGAACGGCCUCCGGAGAACGAGGUCAAUUUUUUGCCAUCUUCAGAAUUGCUUGAAAUUUUGCAAGUGAGUUGGUAUGCCCAUCCCCACACUCAAUCCAAGAAUUGAACGUAUUUGGACACCAAAAACAUGUUGCGUCACGUCCGGUCAGUGUUUUAGGUGUUUUCAUCAAAAAAAAUUGUAGAAAAUUCAUAAAGUGGCAAAAAGUUAUGAAACUUGUCAUGCUUAGUAGUCAUGAUGGUAGAACACUAUGAAAAAAAUUUGGAUUCAUUUGAAGGAUGUCGAAAAAAAACUUCUUUCGGUCGGAGCCCGAACGGCCUCCGGAGAACGAGGUCAAUUUUCUGCCAUCUUUAGAAUGGCUUGAAAUUUUGCAAGUGAGUUGGUAUGCCCACCCCCACACUCAAUCCAAGAAUUGAACGUAUUUGGACACCAAAAACAUGUUGCUUAACGUCCCGUCAGUGUUUUAGGUGUUUUUACCGAAAAAAUUGUAGAAAAUUCAUAAAGUGGCAAAAAGGUACGAAACUUGUCAUGCAUCCUAGUCAUGAUGGUAGAACAUUAUGAACAAAAUUUGGGUUCCUUUGAAGGAUGUCAAAAAAUAAUGUAGAUAGUACUAAUGUAAUUUGACUGAGGUGAGACUAAAUUUGCAUAGUGUGGCAAAUGAUAAAAAACAAGACAAAUAGUAAUGAUGUGAUUUGAGUUUACACUGCAACUAGCAACUCUGACGCACUGCCCGGGCAGUGUAAUGAGCUUACACUGUCCGUGCAGUACGGCAGUGCCGCCCCUGGCAGUGCAAAGUCAAACCAAAUUAUUACUAACUGUCUCAUAUAGCAAUGUGCACGAACGCGGCUAUAUAAGCCGGUCGUGGCGUCCCUCGGCGCGUGAGGUGGGACUAAAGAAGCGCCCCUCCCACCUCCCCCCGCGUCGUGAUGCAUAGAAGGCAAAAAAAAUAGUGAUGCGAAAAAAAGCCCAACCGUGGUUGCAUGCCGCAACUGCGCGUAAUCGGUCCGGCCCGAUCAAGCCGGGCGGCGAAAGGGCCGGCCUUUCGGCCCAGCUACGGCUGGCAGCACAGUCAAACGGGGCAGUGGCGGGACGGGCGGGAAUCAGAGGAGUUCGAAAGGGAGGUGGGAGGCAGGUAUAUAAGGCGGUCGCGACGUCGUUCGGCGGGCGAGGUGGGACUAAACUUUAGUCCUGACCCCCGCCGACCCUGCCCCCGCACCGCGCGCACAGUCAAUGGGCCGGCCCACGCGCGCCGUCGCGCACAGUCACUGGGCCGGCCAACGCGCGCUGUCGAAGACUUUUUUUUGUUUAAAAAAUAGUAUUAAGUUUUUUUAGUUAUUUAUGCCUUUUGUUAUCGUUUAAUUUUUUUCUAUAAUUAAUAAAAAUCCAUACGUAAUAUAGAAUUGUUAACUUGAUUUAUUAUAAUAAUAAUGAGUUGUUUAUUAUAAUUUAUAGGUAAAAAUAAUGAGUUUUUGAUAAUUAAUUGCUAAAACAAUAUUUACAUCAGAAUUGUUAAUUAGAUUUUUAAUAUUUAUGUAAUGUUCAUUAUUUAAUUUUCUAUGUCUUAUUCAUGAAUGCAUAAAAAAAUUGCCAUAAUAAUAAUGAGUUUUUUGUUAUAAUUUAUAAGUAAGAAAAUUGAGUUUUUUGUUAUAAUUUAUAAGUAAAAAUAAUAAGUUUUUCUUUAAUGGCUAACAUUUUUGAGUUUAUUAAUAAAUAAUUUGGAAAACACCCUUAAUAAUUGUACAUAUAUGCAAAGUUUAGUACAGUAAUGUGCAAAGUUUAAAAAUAAGAUAUUCCAUAAUUAUAAAGAAACAAUAUUGAAUAUAGAAUAUUCCAUAAUUAUAAAGAAACAAUAUUUAAUAUGCAUUUUGUUAUCGUUUAGAAAAUAUUCCAUAAUUAUAAAGAAACAAUAUUGAAUAUUGAAUAUUAUUUGUUAAAAAGUGCACGGAGGGACAAAAUGAUAAAAAAUAAGAUAGCUAGUUAAUAAAGUGAUUUGACUUUACAUAGCUGCCCGGGCAGCAGCCGCCCGGGCAGGUAUGUAUGAUCAAAUCUCUUUAGUAUUAGCUAUUUUCUGUAACAAAGAGCAUGAACGCGGCUAUAUAAGCCGGUCGUGGUGUCCCUCGGCACGCGAGGUGGGACUAAAGAAGCGCCCCUCCCACCUCCCCUCGUGCCGUGACUCAUAGAAGGCAAAAAAAAUAGUGAUGCAAAAAAAAGCCCAACCGUGGUUGCAGGCCGCAACUGCGCGUAAUCGGUCUGGCCCGAUCAAGCAGGGCGGCGAAAGGGCCGGCCUUUUGGCCCAGCUACGGCCUGCAGCACAGUCAAACGGGGCAGUGGCGGGACGGGGCGGGAAUCAGAGGAGUUCGAAAGGGAGGUGGGAGGCAGGUAUAUAAGGCGGUCGCGGCGUCGUUCGGCGGGCGAGGUGGGACUAAACUUUAGUCCUGACCCCCGCCGACCCUGCUCCCGCACCGCACAGUCAAUGGGCCGGCCCACGCGCGCCGUCGCGCACAGUCACUGGGCUGGCCAACGCGCCCUGUCGAAGACUUUUUUUGUUUUUUGUUUUUUGUUUCAAAAUAAUAUUAAGUUUUUUUAGUUAUUUAUGCCUUUCGUUAUCGUUUAAUAAAUGUUCUAUAAUUAAUGAAAAGCCCUAUGUAUUGUACAAUUGUUAACAAGAUUUAUUAUAUUUAUGUAAUGUUCAUUAUUUAAUUUGUUAUGUGUUUUGCAUUAAUGGCUAAAGUUGUUUUCAUAAUAGUAAAGAGUUUUUUGUUAUAAUUUAUAAGUAAUAAUAAUUUGGAAAAGACCCUUCAUAAAAAACAAUACUUGAUAUAGAAUUUAUUAAGUAGUUAUAUUAAAAACAAUACUUAAUAUAGAAUUUAUUAUGUAAUUAUAUUAAAAACACUACUUAAUAUAGAAUUUAUUUAGUAUUUAAAUUAUAAGAAAUUCAUACGGUGUCGGAAAAUUAUGAAAACUUGCAUGCAUGAUGGCCCUGGUGAUGCUGGCGUGUGGAAACAUUUGGGGUCCACCGGCUGAGUCAGAAAAGGAAACGCAGUACGGAGCUGACCUCCUUCAUAUCCGAUCAAUGCCGGUUGCAUGGGUGGUACGAGGUGGCAUGCAUGAAACGUCACCCAAUUUUGGGGGCAGUGGGCAUGCCCAUCUUAGGGCCCCACGCAAGAUUUGAACGAAUUCGGACACCAAACGCAUGUUACAUCACACCCGGUUAGUGUUUUCGGUGCGUUUCACGGAAAAAACCAUAAGAAAUUCAUACGGUGUCUGAAAAUUAUGGAAANNNNNNNNNNNNNNNNNNNNNNNNNNNNNNNNNNNNNNNNNNNNNNNNNNNNNNNNNNNNNNNNNNNNNNNNNNNNNNNNNNNNNNNNNNNNNNNNNNNNNNNNNNNNNNNNNNNNNNNNNNNNNNNNNNNNNNNNNNNNNNNNNNNNNNNNNNNNNNNNNNNNNNNNNNNNNNNNNNNNNNNNNNNNNNNNNNNNNNNNNNNNNNNNNNNNNNNNNNNNNNNNNNNNNNNNNNNNNNNNNNNNNNNNNNNNNNNNNNNNNNNNNNNNNNNNNNNNNGUGGAAAAAGUUUGGGGUCCACCGGCUGAGUCAGAAAAGAAAACCCAGUACGGAGCUGACCUCCUUUAUAUCCGAUCAGUGCCGGUUGCAUGGGUGGUACGAGGUGGCAUGCAUGAAACGUCACCCAAUUUUAGGAGGUAGUGGGCAUGCCCAUCUUAGGGCCCCACGCAAGAUUUGAACGAAUUCGGACACCAAACGCACGUUGCGUCACGCCCGGUCAGUGUUUUCGGUGCGUUUCACGAAGAAAACCAUAAGAAAUUCAUACGGUGUCAGAAAAUUAUGAAAACUUGCAUGCAUGAUGGCCCUGGUGAUGAGUGCGUGUGCAAAAAAUUUGAAUGGUUGAAUUAGAUAAAAAACGCAUUAAUAUUUUCUAUCGUUAAAAAUAUAUUGGAGAUAAUGGCUCUCUUUUUGAAGAAUAUGCAUGAUCCAUGUGAACCUUCACAAGCUCUGAGCAGGUGAAGACUCACAUCGAUCCUGCAUAUCCUCCAAAUAGAGUCCCACAAACUCAGAUGUUUGUUCAUGGAGCAAAAGAAAAGUAUAUAAAGGAGUCAACGGCGCGCCGGCUUAGCGAUGUGGUAUUAAACUAGAACCGUUAAAGUACAAUGAAUGUUUUCAAUAAAUGCAUCAUGGGCCAGCCGACGGUAGUAUUACGGGACGGGCCAAGGGGCCCACUAUGGCGUGACCACGUCUAUGACGCCGUACGUGCGUGCAUGGGCAUGGAAACCACGCCGCCAUUACCUCGCCCCAGGACCGCCUAACCCCGUCGCCUCCAUGCACGACCUCACCCGAUCCGACGGUCGCACCGCCAUGGCCGUCCCAACUCCCUUCCUUGCCGCCCUCACGACGGCCAUACACUCCGGCAUCUACGCGUGCGACUUGGAUCUCGGCCCGGCCGGGCCGUCUCGGCAAAGUCGCCCGCACCCAGAACCCUAGGGCGGGCCGUCGGCCACCGCGGUGGUGUGGGCAGAGGGCGCGCGGCUGCCACGACUAACCCACACCGGGUGGGGUUAGCCAACGGAGGCCGCCGGUGCACCUCGUGGCGCCGGAAGGUAUGGUAUUAAACCAUAUGUAAUGUUUUUUGAAUCUCGUAACUAGUUAGAUAACUUUCAUCUUAUUUAGAAUGCAAGAAUUCGGAGAUGUGUACUGCUCGGUUGAGAAGUGGUGCGAAUUGGUGGGAAAAUUCACACCCAGACAGCGCAUGAUGCUACGUGGCACAAAUUUGGACAGUAUGUUGAGAAUUCCUUCAGUGAAAAUGAGGAAAAAUUUAUUGGAAUUUAUGAUUACAACGUAUGAUAGUAGUAGAAAGCGAUUUAUUAUUCAGCCAAAUACUGACGGCAUCAGUGUGCUUAAUGAAGAUGUUUAUGACAUAUUCGGGCUACGUAACGAGGGUGAUGAUGUCAAUAGCAUGAUAGCAACAGUACAACUAAACGCCAAAAAAUUGUUCCGAAUCGGUUUUUAGACAAAAGAACAGGCCUAAUCCUCAUCGAUGACUUGAUAAAAAAUAUUAUUGAUAGUCAGUCAUAUGAUGAUGAUUUUGUGAGAAGGGACGUACUGGUUCUUAUGGGUACAGUCUUAGCACCACAAUCCACCAAGUUUGUUCCUUAUCGUUAUUACAAAAUGGUGGAGGACAUGAACGCUAUCAAGUCAUACAAUUGGAACGAUUUCACGUUGGGGGUGUGCAUGGAUGCUAUUAAAAAACGGUCGAAGAUCUUGAAAAAUUCAAGUGGCCUAUUGGGAACUUGGCUCAUCUCCAGGUACAAGUCAUUUCGUAAUAGUUGUAUGUACAUAUAUUUUUUUAUGUGAUCUAUGUGUCUGACUAUUUGUGUUUACUAUCAUGCAGUAUAUAUACUGGGAAAAACUUGAGCCAAUUGGUGUGGAUACAUUUGAUCCUUUGUCUCGUGAAUACCCACUAAUGCUUAACUGGCCAGAAACGGAAGGGAAAAAGCGAGACGACUAUGACAACAUGCACGGGCGGGGUACCGGCAAUGUAAGUCAAUAAGUAUAAUCCUUAUUGGUUUCACAUAGUAAUUAAGUCAAUAAGUAUAGUCCUUAUCUGUUUGCAUCGUCACCACAUUCAAUUCUAGCAAGUUCUCUUAAUAUGACUCCGGAUCACAUAGAGGCAGCCAAAGUUUUUGUUGAGACUCUUGCAUCGUCAAAGAAGCAUGCACACCGAACCGUGGUUGAUGUGCCGCCAUCAGAUGGGGACAUAUGCACGCCAGCUAUGCUUCACGAUGUCCUAAUGUUUAAAUGGUUGAAUGGCGCUGUAAGUAUGAGUUUGUUUUUAACAAAACCCUCAUUUGUACUUCAUAAGUUGAUAGAAUUUUUUUGUUUAUGUAUGCAGAUCAUCAAUGCAUAUUCUAAACACCUACAACACCGUGAUUUUUCUGAUCGUUACAUAUCAACAACGUGGUUCCCCAAAUUUAAGUUGAAUAGGGCAAGGGGAAAGACCAAGUCAGUAAAUGAUAUAGACUCAGAGAAUCUUACAAAGAAAACAAAAGUCCUCACAAGAGUAAUGGAUGAGUAUUUCAGACGGGACAAGGUAUUGCUUUCAUAUGUAUUUGUUUUUAUUAGUCAAUACUAUUUAAUUGCACUAACAUCAUUUGGUUACUAUGUAGGCGUAUUUUCCUAUGUAUGUUAAUGAUAAUCAUUGGAUAACCAUAGUGAUGCACACCGUCAAGGAGGAGUUUCAAGUUCUUGACUCAAAUUCUAAAGGCGCAAUUAGCCAAAGAAUUCGCAAUAUGAUUGCCACCCUGGUACGCUAUAAUUUUCGCACUCGCAUUCAGAAAAAUAUUGGGUCAUACAUUAUAUUCUGGUUUUGUUAAUUUGUUUCAGAGAGCUGAAAUUUCUAAGGAUAUUAUGGAGGCCAACUCAACUCUUGAAGCAAAAAAAAUUCCAGAUGUCUCAUCGUGGCCAAUAAAUGAGUACAAAAUGCCGAGACAAAAAGAUGGGUAAGUUAAUACUGCAUACAACUAGUACAAGCAAGUGCAUGCUACAUUGUAAGCUGAUCACACAUGUUUAUUGCAGAGUGUCUUGUGGAAUUUUUGUGAUGUGGUGCAUAAAAUACUGGGACGGAGAUCGCUGGACAUAUGAAUUUGACCAGGAAGAGAUUAAUGCGUCAAGGCCACGUAUUGUCGCGGAAAUUAUUUUUUCAGAGGUGAACAAAUUAGAGAAGGUCAAGAUGAAAAUUGUUAAAAUCAUGGAGAAGGAAUAGGUAUUAGCAUCGGUAGGGUUUUAGUCCCGUAGAAGGUUUCUCUGCCGUUGUUGGGUACUUUAUUCGAUUGUAAUGCGACAUGGCACUUUCAGUUUAUUUGUUUUCCUACUUUGUUAAAGGAUAUGAGACAUGGCACUUUCAAUUUAUUCCUUAUGCCACCUUGUUCAACGUUAUGAGACAUGCGAUUUUUAUUGUUAUGUGUGAAACAUGAUAUAUUUGUAUGAAUGUGUUACUGCUGUCAUGACUUUCUAGACUGUUUAGCAUUUUAAAAAAUUAAUCUAUGUGAAAAAAACAUAUUUAAAAAAAGGCCCAGCCAUGGCCGGGCGCGCGCAUGGACAGUAAACUAGAACGCCUUCGGGAAGGCCUUUCGGCCGCCGAGCGGGGAGGCCACGGCGUACAACAAGGCAUUCAUUAGUGUUCUGUAGUGGGCUUGUGAGACGGCGACGACGCGGGUAUAUAAACCGGUCGUCGCGUCUCUCCGCGGGCGAGGUGGGACUAAACCUAAUCGCCAUAACGCGCCAGCGUCCCCAGCCGCACACGAAGAGGCCUUAAAGGGCCGGCCCACGCACCCGACGCGCAUCGUUAAUGGGCCGACAGAUCGCCAUAAAUCCCCUCGGGAUCGUUGCAUGUGCCCGCUCGGUCGGGCGAGACGAGACGUCUGCCACCGGGCCCGUGGUUGUCGCUCGGUCGGCUGCUGGGCCACCAGACGCGCGCGUGGCGCACGGCGAAUCGCGCCAGCCCGCACUAGCUGGACUGCACAGGCCCGCCACUGCCUCGGCUGUCGGCCACCGCACGGGCUGGGCUGGAAUAUUCGUCCUCGGCGCGCCAAUCAUGCUGCCAGGCCGAUCUUCAUCGGAUCCAGCGCCGUUGCUGCCACCAGAAUCGCCCUGGGAUAUUGUGCACGUUUUGUCCACAUCGCGCCAACUCAGGAUGGCGGGGAUAUUUUUUAUAAAAAAAGUCCGCCGCGAAUACAAACAACAACAGUACAUAUAACAUCACAGCCGCAAACUGAUACAUUUUAGCACAGCAAAAAUAUUACUUGCCCACACUUAUAACAUUCUAUCUCACAAAAUAGUACCGUUGAUAGUUGGACACACAUUUAAAUGUUUAGUCUCACACGAAAGCGACAAAUAAAAUGUGAAAAAAUUGUCUUCAAAUAUAGUACGACAUGCUAAUUGAACUCUGUUCCAGUGCCUUCCAUUGAUUAUUAAUACUUCAUCUUUAUGCCCGGUUCCUACAUAACAAAUUGUAAACAACUCAUCAGGCAAUUGUAAAGAGAGAAAAAAAAAUAAUUAAAAAAUGUAAAACUUAGUGGGUGCUUGGAUCCAAGGGACUUAUUUUAGUCUGACUAAAAAUAGUCUCUUUAAGCGGCUAAAGUUCCAAGCACCCCUGACUAAAGAGGGGCUAAAACUAGUCUUGACUAAAUUUUUUUAGUUAGGGGUACCCCUACUAAAAUGUGGAUUAGUCCUCUCUAUCCUCAUUUAACUUCUCUCCUUUAACACAUGCGAGUUCUGGAUUGGAGGGUUUGGAGGAUAAUAAAUGCUCAUUAAUUUGAUUUUAGUCUCUUUAGUAUUUGGAUCCAAGCAUGGGUGAGGCUAGCAAGUUUUAGUACCACUACUUUUAGUCAUGAGACUAAAACGUAUCCAAGCACCCUCUUACUUUUCAUUCUCAGGGCACGUUUGUCGUCUAUGGCCCUCUUUCUUACAAAUGCCACAAAGAGGACCGGGUUUUCUCUCAGAAAAUGAUUUUGGUCUUCCAUUUUUUGUAACAUUUGGAUCUUUCUUUGCCCGCCCUGUCAUGCUCUUUUUAGGGGCGCCCUUCGUGGAAACUUUCACGGGAUCACCUAUGACAUCAACAUGUUGUUCCGGCUCACAUGGCUCCUCAUGCACAUUUCUUCUACUACCAACAGCAUCAUCAUCAGGGACCUUUUUCUUCGCUAUUAUAUUCUGCAGACACUGCAUCAACUCAUCAAAGACGAAUGGAUCAUUUGAAGCAACAUGGAAAGUUUCUGCUCCUGUUAUACUGAGUUGACUAUAGCGAGCACGCUGCUCUGCCCCUGUCCAACCCCAGCCAAACAUGUCACUCUUCCGCUGUGCACGCAGCCCACCUCUCGCAACUUUCGACAUCCUCUUAAGGAUGCAACACUUAGGUAUUUUAGAUACUUUCAGAUGAACCAACACAUACAGAAUGUGUUUGCAAGGCAACCCUUUCCAAAGCAUUCGUCCACAACUGCAGUCUAUCGUAUUCUCAGAGUUUUCAGCUAGAUAAUUCACGCUGAACUGAAAUUUGUGGUUAUUUCUCAAUGUCACGAUGAAGGUGUGGCAGUCAACUCCCACUAGCGUCUCAAAAAUCUCAAGCUCUCCCAUCUUCUUCAGAUCUUGUUGAAGAAUAUAAAAAUUGGCAUGAGUGAAUACUUCGGCAGCAUGCUUCUCAAUGUCCUUAUAUUCUGUGACUGAUGGUGGCAAUGACUGAUUUGAAACACAGUCAUCAUGCGCCUCGUUCUCACGUAGUCGAACUAUGCAAUUCUCAUAAUGCACAACUAGAUCAACAAUAGUCAUACCGCCGUCCAGGUGAAGGUGAAGACAAGAGUUAAGGCUUUCACUCCUCUGAUUACUGCGCAUACCCUGAAAAAAACCAUCUGAUAGAUAUGAUGCUGCCCACAGACUCCUCUUCCUGUACAUCCUAUGCAGCCACUCUUCUGUUUUAUCAGUCUUCCAUUUAUGGACAAAAGCGUGCCAUCUCGCGUCAAAGUUGGCCGGAGAGGUGGAGUAGUACAAGAGUGCCCUGAACUCAUUUAGCGAUUUGUAAUUAAGGUGCUUCUGCAUAUUUUUUUCCACGUGCCAUGAGCAGAGACGGUGCAACACAUCAACCAAAACCAACCGAAUAGCUCGUAUCAUUCCAGCGUCUCCAUCUGUGAUGAUUGACCUUGGCUUCUUCUGACAAUUGGCCUUCAGGAAUGUGUGGAGCAGCCACACGUACGUCGCUUCGGUCUCGUCGGACACAAUGGCACAACCAAACACUGUGGUGCAACGGUGAUUAUUUACACCAACAAAGGGGAUGAACGGGCAUACCAUAUCUGUUCAUCUUAUACGUGUUGUCAAACACAAUCACAUCUCCAUACAACCGAUAGUCUCGCCGCGACUGCGCAUCGCACCAGACAUGCUCUUCAAACGGCCCUCCUUAUCGAGCACGUACUCAAAGAAAAAGUCUGGAUCCUUCUCCUUUCUGCUCCUCAUAAUCCCAAUUGUCGUGUUACCAUCACCCUUCGCAAUCAACUUCAUUUUUUCUCGGCAACAUAGGUUGUAGACGUCUCGUCUCAGAAACCCACACUUAUCAUACGAGCCAUACCUGCUAAUGAAGUUGUCGACGAUGAUAUGCUUUCUGAUCCCAGCUCCUUCCAUCGCCAAGAUCUCAGCUAUCUGGUGAUCUCCCAUCACUCUAUGCGACCGCAGAAAUACCACCUCAUCUGCUCUAGCCAACAAAUGGUUGUGAUCAUCCAUAAAAGCUGCCACGAACCAAACUCCGCGUCCUUUGUCCAACUUCACGACUAAAUGUGCGCCACACCCGCAACGAGUCUCAGGUCUUAGCCUGCGGGUACGGCCCUCCGGGUGUAAAAAUUUACUGAGACGUUUUCCUGCCCUCGAGCAAACGUACUGCCUAUACCGAAUAGUGGUUGAAAGACCUUUUCCUCGUUUUACCUUAUCUUUUCUGAUACUGAAUCCACGGUCUUUGGCGUAGUUAUUAUAGAACAUGUAAGCAUCCCAUUGUGAUGCAAAUGUCAUACCCAUAACCUUCAACUGUGUCUCCAGCGCACGUUGCUGGAUUUCAGCCUCCUCAAUGUCCAUAUUAGCUCCAUCCUCAUGCUCAUAGCCAUCAUCACCACUCCAACCAUCGAAGUUAGCCUACAAUAUUCCACAUAAGCAAGUGUAAGUUGUCAUUAACAAGUUUUUAUUAUUGUAUGACAUCUUAAAGUUUGGACCCAACCUGGCUUAUGUUAUCCGCGAAAGAUUCAACACCAUGUUUUUCCUCGUUCUGGACGUCAAUAUCCUCCUGCACAUAAAAAAAAUCAUAUGCACAUGUAAGUACCCAUAUGGUUCUUCGUCCGACAAAAUGAAUGUACACGUCACUUACAUUUUCACUACAAGCACCCUCCUCCUUCUUUUGAAAAUCCUCCUCAGGUAAAUUAUCGUACGACGACCAGGAUUCAUUGUCGCUGCUAUCAUCAUCAUUUUUACUUUCAUUACCAUUCGUACGAUCAACACUAUCGCUACGAUCCCACUCACUCGUCUCCAAGAACAAAUCCGUAAAUCCAGUUUCUUUAUCCAUUGAAUGACCUCACUACCAACACUGCAACAUUUAAAAUACAAAUUGACCUAUCAAUUUUAAAUCAAAUUAAAUGUACUACGGUCAUACCGAUUAGUACUUCAUAUCUAACAAGUGAUUGCAGAUAUGUAACGCUCGGAUAAUUAGGCUACAGUAAAACUCUCCUAAUGAUGCCAUGUCAUCUCUGUUUACUGUUACUAAACUCUCGUUAGUUCAAAACCCGUUCAAAAGUCAAAUUCAAAAUAUAUCAAACAACAAAAGUUUUCAAAAGCUGAAACAAAAAUGUUCGGGCAGUGCCAAAAAUGGCAUAGGUAAUUAUGGUGUAGAAGACACGAUUUUAUAAAAUACUUAAAUGCCCUAAAUUAAAUAAGACAGAAAAGGAAAAGAAAAGAAAAUACAAAAGCAGAAGACAAAAGAGAAAAAAAAAGAGAAAAGGACCCCCUGGACCAGACGGCCCAGCUCGCAGCCAGGCCGGCCCACCUGGCCCAGCUUGCCAACCGUCGGCCCAGCCCCCCUGCCUCGUCUCCCUUCCCUGUUCCCCCGACCCGAGUUGGAACAGGGGCGCGUCGCCACCGGACCCCCCUCGCCGGCGUCGAGGAGAGGAUAAGGCCGCCACGCCCCCGCCUCCUCGAUCCCGCCUCCCACUCGCCCCCACUCUCGCCCUCGGUUCCUGCGCCUCUGCGCCUUCCCCCUCAGAUCCACCUCUCUCCCCCCUCGUUCCCCACCGCAACCGAGCGCCGCCAUGGCCUCGCCGCCAUAGAACUCGCGGCCACCGCGACCUCCGCGCCUCUCCGAUGUGUCCGCUCGCUCCGCCUCCCUCGACUACGCCUCCCCGUCAAGCCGCAGGACGCCGGGCACCCUCGAACGCUGCCCCGGCCUCGUCUUCUUCCUCGGAUCCCCGGCGUGCCUCCGACGAGCGCCGUCGACUCUGCAGCUCCUAAACCCCCCAAGGGCCUUUCGUGUGUGCCGCUCGGUGAGCUCCACCCCUCCUGCUCUCCGUUUGCUCUCUCGCACGCCCUAGCUAGCUGCCGCCGAAGCGCCCGAACGCAGCGCCGCGGAGCUCAUCGCCAACGAGUCUCCGGUGACCAAAUGGUCACGGGCGUGUUGCCAUUGAACUCGCCGCGUCGAGUAGGGCCCGACUAGCCCUCCCGUUGCCGUUGCUCGCCCGAAACACUCCGCCGCCGACGAGCUCGUGGCCGUCGCCACGGCCGUCGUCUUGCUCGCCUGAGCCCGUCACCGUGUUCCUGGAGCUUCCAGGAACCCAACGCGCGCGCACAUGCCUUCCUGUGCCCCCUAGCGCUGGAUCCACUCACGCCCGACUCCGACCAUCCGCCGAUGGGCUCGCCGCCGUCACUUCCGGCCAUCUCCGGCCACGCCACCGCCACCACUAGAUGCGCCUCUUCACGCUCGUUCGAACGAGCCCAUGCGCGCACGGAUCCGUGCCCUGUGCGCAUUUUCCGGCGAACUCCAGCGGGUCAGCGCCGUGCAUUUGGUCGCUGGCGGCGAGAGCCGGCCGCGCUGACCUGGCGUCGCGGGUCCCACCGCCUGGGCCACUGACUGGUGGGCCCAGGGCCCCCUGUUGACCAGUUGACUGAGUCAACUGCUGACUGGGCCGCCCCUGUCUCACUGACCUAUAGGCCCCACCUCAAUAAACAAAAUAAAUAAAAGAAUAAUUAGUUAAUUAAAUAGUUUAGUUAAUUAAAUAGUUUAGCUAAUUAAAACCCUAAUCUCUCACUCACUACUGGGCCCCACUCGCUGAUUAGGUUAGUUAGGUUAAAAUAACUUUGUUAGUUAAGCUCUGUCACUGACAUGUGGGUCCCACUGGAACCACCUGUCUGGUUUGACUAGUCAACCACACUGUUGACUGCUGACAUCACACAUAUGUCAUGCUGACGUCAUCCCAUACUGUUCUGGAUAAUGUUGGAUUUAAAUAAAUAAUUAAAAUCAGAAAAUGAUUAAAACAUUAGAAAAUCAUAUAAAAUAAUCCGUAACUCGGAUGAAAAUACUUUCUACAUGAAAGUUGCUCAGAACGACGAGACGAAUCCGGAUACGCAGCCCGUUCGUUCACCACACGUCCCUAGCAUAGUGAACCUACAACAUUUCACCUCCGGUCCAUCUGUCCGAAAACGCAAAACAUCGGGAAUACUUUCCUGGAUGUUCCCCCCUUCGCCGGUAUCACCUAGUACCGCGUUUGGGCACACCUAGCCUCACGCUUUGUCAUGUCAUGCAUCGUUAUGCAUCUGUUUGCAUUGUAUUCAUUGUUUCUUCCCCCUCUUCUCUCCGGUAGACUACGAGACCGACGCCGCUGCUGGUGCCCCGACCGACUACGCUGUUGACGACCCCUCCUUCUUGCCAGAGCAAUCAGGCAAGCCCCCCCUUGAUCACCAGAUAUCGCCUAUUCUUCUCUAUACUGCCUGCAUUAGAGUAGUGUAGCAUGUUACUGCUUUCCGUUAAUCCUAUCCUGAUGCAUAGCCUGUCCUUGCUACUACUGUUGUUACCUUUACCUUCAAUCCUACAUGCUUAGUAUAGGAUGCUAGUUUUCCAUCAGUGGCCCUACAUUCUUGUCCGUCUGCUGUGCUAUACUAUCGGGCCGUGAUCACUUGGGCGGUGAUCACGGGUAUAUACUUAUAUACUCUAUACAUGAUACCUGUGGUGACUAAAGUCGGGUCGGCUCGUAGGAGUACCCGCGAGUGGAUCUUGUUGUGGAGCGACAGGGCAGGUUGAGACCACCUAGGCGAGAGGUGGGCCUGGCCCUGGACGGCGUCCGCGGUUACUUCAAAAUAACACGCUUAACGAGUUCUUGGUAUUUGAUCUGAGUCUGGCCAUUUGGUCUAUACGCACUAAUCAACUACGCGGGAACAGUUAUGGGCACUCGACGUCGUGGUAUCAGCCGAAGCCUUCGUGACGUCAGCGACCGAGCGGCGCGCGCCGCAUUGGACCGUAAGCUCGCACUUGUAUUAAGGGGGCUAGGUCUGCUUCCGGCCGCGUACGCAACGUGCAGGUGUGCAAUGGGCGAUGGGCCCAGACCCCUGCGCGCAUAGGAUUUAGAUCGGCGUGCUGACCUCUCUGUUGUGCCUAGGUGGGGCUACGACGUGUUGAUCUUCCGCGGCCGGGCAUGACCCAGAAAAAUGUGUCCGGCCAAAUGGGAUCGAGCGUGUUGGGUUAUGUGGUGCACCCCUGCAGGGAAGUUUAUCUAUUCGAAUAGCCGUGUCCCUCGGUAAAAGGACGACCCGGAGUUGUACCUUGACCUUAUGACAACUAGAACCGGAUACUUAAUAAAACACACCCUUCCAAGUGCCAGAUACAGCCCGGUGAUCGCUCUUGUGACGCCCUCAAUUCAAUCGUACACUAAUCAUGCACGCAAACGUGUACGAUCAAGAUCAGGGACUCACGGGAAGAUAUCACAACACAACUCUGAAACAUAAAUAAGUCAUACAAGCAUCAUAAUACAAGCCAGGGGCCUCGAGGGCUCGAAUACAAGUGCUCGAUCAUAGACGAGUCAGCGGAAGCAACAAUAUCUGAGUACAGACAUAAGUUAAACAAGUCUGCCUUAAGAAGGCUAGCACAAACUGGGAUACAGAUCGAAAGAGGCGCAUGCCUCCUGCCUGGGAUCCUCCUAAACUACUCCUAGUCAUCGGCAGCAGCCUGCACGUAGUAGUAGGCACCUCCAGUGUAGUAAGAGUCGUCGUCGACGGUGGCGUCUGGCUCCUGGGCUCCAGCAUCUGGUUGCGACAACCAGGUAGAAAGGAACGGGGGGAAAAGAGGAAGGAAAGCAACCGUGAGUACUCAUCCAAAGUACUCGCAAGCAAGGAGCUACACUACAUAUGCAUGGGUAUAUGUGUAAAGGGCCAUUUCGGUGGACUGAACUGCAGAAUGCCAGAAUAAGGGGGGGGGGGAAGCUAGUGCUGUCGAAGACUACGCUUCUGGCAGCCUCCAUCUUGCAGCAUGUAGAAGAGAGUAGAUUGAAGUCCUCCAAGUAGCAUCGCAUAGCAUAAUCCUACCCGGCGAUCCCCUCCUCGUCGCCCUGUUAGAGAGCGAUCACCGGGUUGUAUCUGGCACUUGGAAGGGUGUGUUUUAUUAAGUAUCCGGUUCUAGUUGUCAUAAGGUCAAGGUACAACUCCGGGUCGUCCUUUUACCGAGGGACACGGCUAUUCGAAUAGAUAAACUUCCUUGCAGGGGUGCACCACAUAACCCAACACGCUCGAUCCCAUUUGGCCGGACACACUUUUCUGGGUCAUGCCCGGCCGCGGAAGAUCAACACGUCGCAGCCCCACCUAGGCACAACAGAGAGGUCAGCACGCCGGUCUAAAUCCUAUGGCGCAGGGGUCUGGGCCCAUCGCCCAUUGCACACCUGCACGUUGCGAACACGGCCGGAAGUAGACCUAGCCUAGCAGGCGUUCCAGUCCAAUCCGGCGCGCGCCGCUCAGUCGCUGACGUCACGAAGGCUUCGGCUGAUACCACGACGUCGAGUGCCCAUAACUGUUCCCGCGUAGUUGGUUAGUGCGUAUAGACCAAAUGGCCAGACUCAGAUCAAAUACCAAGAUCUCGUUAAGCGUGUUAAUUGAUGUAACCGCGGACACCGACCAGGGCCAGGCCCACCUCUCACCUAGGCGGUCUCAACCUUCCCCGUCGCUCCGCCACAAAGAUCCACCCAGAGGGCCAUCGGGACAAAGGUCCUUUCAGCCCCCAAUCCGUGAAUCACUCGCGGGUGCUCCACGAGCCGACCCGACUUUAGUCACCACAUGUAUCAUGUAUAAAGUAUAUAGUAUAUACCCGUGAUCACCUCCCGAGUGAUCACGGCCCGAUAGUAUAGCACAGCAGACGGACAAGAAUGUAGGGCCACUGAUGGAAAACUAGCAUCCUAUACUAAGCAUGUAGGAUUGCAGGUAAAGGUAACAACAGUAGUGGCAAAGACAGGCUAUGCAGCAGAAUAGGAUUAACGGAAAGCAGUAACAUGCUACACUACUCUAAUCCAAGCAGUAUAGAGAAGAAUAGGCGAUAUCUGGUGAUCAAGGGGGGGGGGCUUGCCUGGUUGCUCAGACGAGAAGGAGGGGUCGUCGGUGACGUAGUCGAUCACAGUGGCAUCGGCAGCCAUCACGGGGUCUACCGAAGAGGAGAUGGGGGAGAAACAGUAAAUACAUAGCAAGCAAGAGCAUAACAGGACAACAGGCAGAGCUAGACGUGUUCUAACGCGGUGCUACACGCUACCGGUGAAGGGGGUAACAUCCGGGAAUGCUUUCCCGAAGUUUGGCAUUUUCGAACAGACGAACCGGAGGAGGAAAGUUCGAUGUUUGCUAUGCUAGGGAUGUGUGGCGGAUGAAUGGGCCGCGUAUUCGGGUUCGUCUCGUCAUUCUGAGCAACUUCCAUGUAGAAAACAUUUCCAUCCGAGUUAUGGAUUAAUUUCUAUGAUUUUUCAAAGUUUUAAACAUUUUCUGGAAUUAUUUUAAAUCAAAAGAACUUAAUGCGCCAGCAUGAUGUCACCUGACGUCAGCAGUCAACCUCCAGUUGACUGGUCAAGCUGACGUCCAGAACCCACCUGUCAAAGACAACGGGGGUUUAACAGCGUUUAACUUAAUCUAAACUAGAUACUUAAUCUACUGGGCCCACCUGUCAGUACCUAAUUAAGUUAAUUAAUUAUUAAUUUUAAACGUUUUAGUUAAAAAGGGGAGGUGGGCCCUAUCUGUCAGCUGCUGGGCUGGUCCAGUCAGCAGAGCUGACCGGUCAACAGGCCGGACGGGCCCCUGGGGCCCACGGGUCAGUGACCCAGGUGAUGGCCCCGGGCCGACCACGUCAACGCGGGCAACGGCGUUUAACCGCCGGUGGCCAUAGCCACGGGGGAGGGUCGGGCGCGCACCGGAAUCCAUCUAGGGGCGGCCUUUUCGCGAGCAGUUCGCACCGUUCGAACGCGUGCACGACGCCGAGUCGGGUGGUGGUGGUGGCUCGCCCGGGGACGGCCGGAGACGGCGCCGGCGUGGAGCACGGGCGGCGGUGGCCUUCGGGCGCUCGACGACGAUGGUGAUUCGGGACACGGCUCGUCGUGCGGGGCGGCUCUACGGGCGGCUGGUGCUCGCGCGCAUCCAUUGCCGUAGUCGGUAGUAGGCGGGAGCGACGAGCUCACCGGAGACGAGCUCACGGCGGCGGCCGGAGCACUGGCCCAUCGAGGAAGGCGCCAAGGGGAGUGGGAGGAGUAGCGGGCGCAUGCAGUGGGUGCAGGCGGAGGUGCUGAGCACGACGGGGGUGGUCGGCUGCGAGCUCCGCGAGCCGUGGCCACGGCGGCGAGCACCACCGCGGCGACGAGCUCGGGCACGACGAUGGGAGCAGCUACGGGGGAAGAAGAGAAGCGCGAGGAGAGGGGAAAGGGGGCGGGGCUCACAGUGAGGCACACGGUGGCCGGCGACAACUUAGUAGCAGCAGGGGGGCCGGAGUGGACGGCGACGACCGAACGGGGAAGGCGGCGAUCCGGCGAGGCAGAGGGGCUCCGAGGUCCGUGGCGUGGUCACGGUCGUCGUGGUCGAGGACGAGGGGGGCUCCUGGACGCAGGCGGACGGAGGACGGCCGCCGGUGGCCACACGCACAACGAGGCCGCGGCGACGGCUACGCCUGGGCCAGCGCGGCGCAAUAGAUCUGGGGGAGGGGGAGAGAGGAGUGGGGAAGCCAGGUGGCAAGUGAGAGUGGCAGGGGGCGAGGCAGAGGCGCCAUGGGGAGGUGGAGGCCUUAUCCACAUCUGGGCGCCGACGGCGAGGUGGGUUCGGCGGGGACGCGGCUCGGGCACGCACUGGGUCGGGUGAACAGAGAGGAGGGAGGCGACCGGGGGAGGUUCUUUUACCUUUUUUUGUUGGUCUUGUUUUUUUCUUUUUCUUUUAUUUAUUUUCCUACUCUGUUUUAAUUCAACUUAAACUAUUUAUGCAUUUGUAAAAGUGUGGUACCUUCACCUUAAAUACCUAGGCAUUAUUUGGCACACUCCGAACAUUUUUGUUUUAAUGUUUGAAAACUUUUAUUGUUUGACUUUAUUUUAAAUUUGAAUUUGAAUGGGUUUUGAAUCAACGCGAGGUUAUCAACAGUAACUGAGGUGACGUCGCAUCAUUAGCAGGGAAUUACUGUAGCUUAAUUAUCCGGGCGUCACAGCUCUCUAACAGGGCGACGAGGAGGGGAUCGCCGGGUAGGAUUAUGCUAUGCAAUGCUACUUGGAGGACUUCAAUCUACUCUCUUCUACAUGCUGCAAGAUGGAGGCUGCCAGAAGUGUAGUCUUCGACAGGACUAGCUAUCCCCCCCUUAUUCUGGCAUUCUGCAGUUCAGUCCACCGAUAUGGCCCUUUACACAUAUACCCAUGCAUACAUAGUGUAGCUCCUUGAUUGCGAGUACUUUGGAUGAGUACUCACGGUUGCUUUCCUUCCUCUUUCCCCCCCCUUUCCCUUAUACUUGGUUGUCGUAACCAGAUGCUGGAGCCCAGGAGCCAGACGCCACCGUCGACGACGACUCCUACUACACCGGAGGUGCCUACUACUACGUGCAGCCCGCUGACGACGACCAGGAGUAGUUAGGAGGAUCCCAGGCAGGAGGCCUGCGCCUCUUUCGAUCUGUAUCCCCGUUUGUGCUAGCCUUCUUAAGGCAAACUUGUUUAACUUAUGUCUGUACUCAGAUAUUGUUGCUUCCGCUGACUCGUCUAUGAUCGAGCGCUUGUAUUCGAGCCCUCGAGGCCCCUGGCUUGUAUUAUGAUGCUUGUAUGACUUAUUUAUGUUUUAGAGUUGUGUUGUGAUAUCUUCCCGUGAGUCCCUGAUCUUGAUCGUACACGUUUGCGUGCAUGAUUAGUGUACGAUUAAAUCGGGGGCGUCACAAGAUAAUUAUUUAUAGGUACAAUUUUUUUGACAAACUAGACGGCUUACAUGGCAGGUACGUGCACUUCGGCCGGCCUGGCCUGGCUGCGGACGCCGAGGACGUUCCCGGAGAGGUUGAUCACGAAGUUGCGGGCGGCGACGGCGUCCACGUAGGCCACGUCACCGCGACAACCUGCACGGAGGCCAGAUCACGUACGGCGGGCGACUCCAACAACGUCCACGGCGGCCAGAUCCUGGGUGAAGACGGGAAAAUGGUCGGCGAUCGGCGGGGAAAGGCGGCGAUCGGCCGGACGGGGAGACGUUGGAAUUGGCAGCGUGAUCACGGCUAGAUCGGCGGGAAAAUGCGGCGAUCGGCGGGUAAGGGCGGCGAUCGGCGGGGCGGGGCGACGUUGGAAUGGGCCGCGUGAUCAAUGCAGGUCGUGGGUCUUUUUUUCGCGCGACGGGAGGGGUAGAUGCGAGCCGGCCGUAUCGGCUCGAGCCGUGCGCUCGGCUCUACCUGUAUGGGCACGCCGCAUACGGUGCGGGAUACGUUAAACACCAUAUGCCCAAAAUGCCUUUAUACGUUAAGCGGGGGUGCGCGCGCGCGCGCCGAAGCAGACCUCUUAUAUGUUUUCUCUAACUGCAUCCUUCCAAUCUUAAUCAAAUGUUAAUGAGAUUGUCGCUAAUUGGGUUUGUCGGUUCAUUUCAGACCCCAGCAUGGUGUAGCAGAGGAGCUACACUAAUCACUGGAGACUCUGGAGUGAAGUUCAAGCACAUCCAUGCUUAAGAGGGCCGACGGAUGACACAACACACAGAUACUGAUCAGUGGUAGAUCGAGUAGAGUGGAUGGAGACCUUUGGUGUCAGAAUUUUUGUCGGCCUCCAUGUAGAGGAAUGAUCCUUCUCUGAAUUCUUUCAUUCAUAUCUGCAUAGACACAGAAAACUUUUUUUUUGCGAAUAUAAAGACACAGAAAAACUUGAUACAUAUGUAGAAUGCCCAUGGAUGUACGUAGACCUUUGUUUUGCGCUAAGUCGAAUGCACAUUUCUUCCAUGAAUAUAACCACUAUUUGUUAUUAUCUUCCCUGUGCAUCCAUCUUUGAUGAUGGAUGUGUGCAAUUUGAGCCAAGGUUGUGGCGUAUGUUCGAUAGGUAAGUGCUUUUGCUGUUCACUGCGGCGGCACCUGUUGAGUUUCUUUUGAUGGUUCGAUGCAUAUUUUCCUUUUGUUGAACGGUGCUAUGCAUUUUCAUGUGAUGGAAAACCGCAAUUUGUUUUAUACUCUGGUGCUUCAGAACAAAUUUCUGGCAUGUUUGAUCUCUUUGCGGUCCAUUCAUGCAAUUAGUUUUGCACCUAUAUAGAGUAUAUGCUGCAGUGAAAUGCUAUUUGCUCUAGAGCAGUUUUAGCAAUUCGGAGGAAUUGUUCUAGAAAAAGAAAGCAAGACGGAGGACUUCUACCGUUCGGAAAAGAGAUAAACACAUCAUUGGUCACUGAACUCUUGCAAGAUGAGCACAUUGGUCACUCUUCUCCCAAAAUGUAAUGAACCGGUCACAACACUCAAUUUUAUGAGCAAACUGGUCGCUCUGCCGUUUCCUGCCAUAACGGCCGCCUAGGUGGCAUGCUGACUCAGCGUUGGGACCACAGCUGCAACAUGUGCGCAUAUCAGAGGGCAGGAUUUUUUGCAAGAAAGACCCUGAAAACAUUAACUCAGAAUAGGUCAAGGUUGCACCGGUUUAUGGCCCACCUGCAAGCCUCUUACGAAUCAUACACAAGCUGCUUAGAUGCCGAUUACGAGCGCGGCACGGCGGCGACGCGCGCGUAGGCGCAGAAGAGAGCUACGUGAGGUGAGAGUUGGCACGGGGGCCAUGCGGGAGUGAGGCUGCACCGGCCUGGGGUGGUGGGAGCGUGCGGGGGCUGGCCGCAGACACAUCGACAGUGACCUCCCGUGGCGGCUUCAACGGCACUAGGGCUCAUGCGGGUUAGAGAGGACGGAAGAGACGGAGAAGAGGUGCACCAGCAUCGAAGGCUCACCUAGAUCAGGCCUGAGCGGACGGAGAUGACAGCGGAGCUCGAAGGCGAGGCCACGGCUGACGGAGGUAGCGGCCGGAGCAGAUGAGGCCUUCUCGAGGAUGCACGACAUGGAUGGGAUGUUGCCAUAAGCUACAGACGAUCCCCAUGGGGCCUGCCUAGCCGAGAAUAAGAAGAAGGUAGAUCGGUGCGCGGCAAUCUUUCGCCGGAGGGGGAGAAGAAUAGUGUGGCUGUGGCGUAGGUGAUACAUGGACUCCGAGUUUGAUUCCUUUGGCAACAAUUUAUAGGGAAUCUCGGUGAAGCCUAUGGACAAGACGGCAGACACAAGAUGCAGGUGCCUGGGUGGCGAUGUUGUGGUUAUUAUAGUCAGAUGAUAGUGAUACAUGGCGGAUGACCUUCCGGUGAGAUAAAUUGUCCUCUAACUUACCACAGAGAGGAAUUGAUCAAGGGAGCCAUGGCGGCGAGGUCGGACGACGUCGGCACGGAGCCAGUGGUCCUGGAGCCGGUGGUCCGGUGCAAGGAACGCGAGGCGGUGCUCCGGGCAAGGCGGGCUGGCACAGUGCUACAUCGCGCGCCCCGCGGAUGCGGUUGGACAUAGGAUGUCUAUGUCCUCAUGGACGGCAAGACAUACAGGUUACAGCGUCAGCGACACAAAUUCAGACAAAUACAUGGCGGCUGCGGCUCCAGGCUAAAUACAUGGCGGCUGCGGCUCCAGGCUACUACGUCCUGGCUCCAGCAAACCUACGGCGGUUUCAGCUGGACACAGUGCGUCCUUUUUCUCUAGUCGCGCGGAUCGCUCGGCCGUAGAAGGUGGCCAUGGAGUGCACGAGGUAGCGCGGUGCAGCAGGCUAGCGGAGGAAGGAACCUCGGCCCUAACUGAUGGAACACCACGCCGCACCAGCUGUAGUCAUGGAGAGAAAGAUGCCACGGGCUCGCAAUCACGCUCGUGAGCGGCAGUAGCAGGCUAGCAGCGGUGCAGGUGGCGUGCGGCGACAGUGGCGUCGAGGCAUGGCACGGCGUGUUGCAGCUCAGCAUGCGCGACCCCGCCGACAGCAAUGGCGGGUCAGCGGCAGUGUUCCUGGAUCCCAACAAGAGCCCAUGGCUUAGCUUGGCGUACGACGAGUUCCAGUCAAGAAUGAGCAACACGAGCAAACAAUCCUCCCAGUGUCCAAACUGAUGCUCCACAUCUUUUCAGGGUCCUUUUUGCAAAAUAUCCCGCCCUCUGAUAUGCGCAUGUGCCAUGGGCGUGGACCCAACGCUGAGUCAGCAUGCCACCUUAGCGCCCGUUACGGCUCGAAACGACAGAGUGACCAAUUUGCUCAUAAAAUUGAGUGUUGUGACCGGUUCAUCACAUUUUGAGAGAAGAGUGACCAAUGUGCUCAUCUCACAAGAGUUCAAUGACCUGCGUUUAUCUCUUCGGAAAAUGUAGAAAUUCUAUAUAGAUAGCAAGAUGGAGAAACUUUAUAUUGAUAUUUCAAAGCAUGAAAUUAUUGUAGAGUGCCAUGCCAAGGCGAUAUGUGCUCCGCAACAUAAUCACUAGAAUAAGUGCAAGGUGGGUUUGCGUAAAAUCGAAGCAAUUUUAGCGAGAUGUCAAAAUUCUAGAAUUCCAAAAGGGGGGCAACGUCACAUUUUAAGGGUGUUCCUAGCGAACUAUUCAUUCCCUCCCGGAUGAUCACUCCAGUCAACGUUUACGUUAGUUUUUUUUUUGAGUAAAACAUUUUCGUUCACUGUGAGAACCCACCCAGCGCAAACUAUGGCCCAUCACCCAUCUGGCGUUUUGACGGGCCUCUUCCAAAGAAGCGUCAUUGCUUGCGCAAAAAAUAAACAGUCCAAAACCCAAAUAACAUUAAAAAUGUAUAAAAAAGAAGAUUUCUAUUUUCAUGCCCCCAUCGCUUAGUUCUUCUCAGUUUUGCCCACGCUCUUUGGUAGUCCUCACUUUUUCCCUCCACAGCGCGGCCCACGCUCGCAAAAAUCUCAAACGGGGGUUUGCCGUCGGGUCAAAGUCUUUGACCGUUACUGGGCGUGAUUACUAACAUGUGGGGCACCGUUGUCAGAGGCUACCCGCUCGUUGAUGAUGGGCGCAUACUGACUUGUGGGACACCUCUGUCAGUGGCUGCGCGGUCGUAGGUGGUGGUCGCAGUUACUGGCGCGUGGGACACAUGUGUCAUCAGCUGCGCGGUCGUAGGUGGUGAUCGCAGUUACUGGCGCGUGGGACACCUGUGUCAUCAGCUGCGCGGUUGUAGGUGAUGGGCGCAGUGACUGGCUUGUGGGACACCUUUGUCAACGGCUGCGCCAACUGGAAAAAAAGAGGUGGCUUAUUAAGCCAGAAAGAGUACUCGAACCCGAUACCACAUGCUCGAAGACCUUUCCGAAAUAACGUAACAAGGAUCGACAAGUUUUCAGUAUUGGAGCCGUAACCAUUGAGUGUCCAGAAUUUUGCCGAAGGGCUUCUGCAAUGAUCACACUAUCUGAUUGUAGAUAGAGUUAGCUCCAACCCUGCUGGCAAGUUUAAGGCCUUCAACAAGAGCAGCCGCUUCAGCUGAAACCACGUCAGCCACGUGCUCUAAUUUUGCCGUUGCCGCACCCACGAACAUCCCACUACUAUCUCUAAUAAUCGCACCGCAGGCCCCGAGUUGUCUUCCUCUGAAAAAGAAGCAUCCACAUUGAGAAUAAGCUGACCUUGCAGUGGUUUUCUCCAUUGAUUCAGUUUAGGGGGCGUAGUAGGCUUACUAGGAUAUCAUACAAAAUUCAGUGUGAGAGCCCGAAUGGCUUGGCAGGAACGGACCGGACUCUGGACCUCCUCCAGUAGCGCCCCUCGCCUUAAGCCGAAUGGAAGCUACUCCCGUUGAAGGGAAUAGCUCAACUGGGCCGACCCGAUAGUGUGUAUACUUAAAAGAAAAGAAAAAGAAGAAAAAAGGGAGUUCCUAGGAUUUCAACAAGGUUAUAAUGGCUCAUAGCUAGUGCAGCCUACCAUCAGGGCAAUGAUCCUAUUUUCCACUGUUUCCCCCAAUAUUUGUCCAUCUUUUAUUUUUUCUUUUCCUUUUCAUCUUUUUUUCUUUCUUUUCUUCGGUUUUCUUCUUCUUUUUACCAUUUUCUGGUUUCUUCUUCUUCUGUUAUUGUUUUUUGCAUUUGUUUCAUUUUUCUCAUUUUAUUUUUUCUUUUGUUUAUUUCAUUUAUUUUUUAAGAUUUCUUUGUUCUUUUGGUUAUUAUUCUAAUUUUUUUUGCAUAUGUCAACAAAAAAAAUUCUAAUACAUGUCUAACAUUUUGCCAAAACAAAUUAAUUAUUUUUCCUAUAAACAUUUUUCCGUUUGUCAAAUUGAGGAAAAAUUGGUCACAUGCAUUGAUGCUCCUCCUAUCAGUAAGCAGUCCGGUUUGAUGAUUCAGACAUGGCGUUUUGCCGUUUGGCGCGUGCAGGUUAUGGAGAGUUAAAGCAUUCAUGUGACCAGUUUGUUUGGAGAGAAACAAAUGGUUUCAGUGGAUAUGAUAUCAUUAUAUUGGAGUGUUGUUAGGAAGAAAGAAAAUCUAAAAGAGAGAUCAUACAUACAUAUAUGGUGAUAUAACAUGCAAACAAAGAGAAUAGUUAUGGUCUUGCAGUAAUCCCUGACCUUGAAGAGCCUCCCAGCUGGUCGCCCAGUCCUGUGAGUUGAAGAAUUUUGCAUCUGGUGUCCUCCAAAUUAAUUUGUUGCGAUACAUAAUUGUUCAAACCAUGAUUUCUUGUUGUGUACUUUCACUGAUUAAAGCACUAAGCCCUGGACCAGGGAUCCUCCCCUAGUCUCUCUGGAUCCCUCCGCGCACCAACGAAAACUGGAUGGAACCCCGUUGUGCUCUGCAUACCAUUCACGAUCCGGCUUUCUACUUCUGCCACACUCACAUUCCAAGGUAGCAAUAAACACUGACACUCCCCACGCCUCCGUCCGGCCACGAGCUCAUGGCGGCAUUCUUCGUCGGCAUGGGCUUGCUGACGCCAACGGCCGCGGUGGGAUCAGUGCGGCCCCGGUCUGCUGGUAGCGUGAGGAUGCGCCAUUUCAUUCACGUGCACCGGUGCCCAGCAGCAAGCUUGAGGUGCAGUGGCGGAUCUAGGGGUGGGGUGGUGGGGGCCAUGGCCCCAUAUACAAUUUGCAGAAUAUUUUUUACUAGUGCAUUCAUAUGUAUAUUCAGUACUUUAUUAACUAUUUGUAAUGUGUUUUGACAAAAAACUAUUACCCUUUAUAAUGUUGCCUCCACGUUGGCCAAAUUCUAGACCCACCACUGUUGAGCUAUGGAGGAACGAGGUUAAUAGAGGCAGAGGAAGGUGCUAGGAGGUUCGUGGGGUGGUUCCGAGAGGUGUGGCUCUACAUUCGCGGCUAGAGAGGGAGCAUGUUUAUCGUCCUCAUCUCCAGGCCGAACCUCGACGGCAUCCUACAGGCAUAUAUCGCUCUGGAUCAAAAGGAUCAUGCUUCUCUUUGCUUAAGGUUAAGUGCACGGUAGUGGUAAUCCAGCCGUACGUUUUGCCAUCUUAAAAUCAGAUGCAUAGGUGAUUUUUCGAGAACUUGGAUCAGGGAUUUAGAAGAAGAGGUUGUCUAUGAAAUGCGCCCAUAUUAAUGUUGUAAGAACCCUACAAAAGAUUUAUUUUAUUAUGCCCGGAUGACACCGAAGGGAAAGAUUUGGAUAACAAAUCAAUAAUCUCGCUAACUUCUAGAGUGAAAUAAAAUAAAUGAAUUAUAAUAUACUAAUAAAACGUUAACAAAGUUAUGUGACAGAGGUACUACCUUCCUAAUGUACCUUUUUUUUGAAAAGGAGGAUGUACCCCCGGCCUCUGCAUCUGGGCGAUGCAUGCAGUCAUUUUAUUAAUUAUUCACAAAGCCCUUAUAAGGUAAUACAUCAGUAAGUCUGAAGCCACCAUCUUGGCAACACCUGUCACUACUCCUAUCCCCGUGAUGAAGGGGUGCCGAAUGUCCGAGCCUAAUACCAAACAGACAUCGCACCAAUACCUAACAUCUAAUGCCGGAUGCCCCGUCCAAGCCACAAUACCUGGACUGGGUUACACACCGGUCCGACGCACUUUCAGUGGGCACCACAUGCGCACGCUGCAAGGGCCAUCACCUCCUUCAUUCAUCGAUCCAUCCUCAGGUCAGAUACUGACGCAUCGACCUUACCAGGCCUCUCUGUCGUCAACGCCACCAUGACGCCAGACAGCGUCGUCCUCCUGCACGAGUCCAUCGCCACCCAUCGGACGCCGAGUCUCCACUGCGCCACGCCGCCAAGAUCCAUCGCCGUCGAUGUCUAGGAUGAAGCAUCGCUCCACCACCUACCGUCGCCCAACCACCAAGGCAUCCGCAUGUCCGUCCAAUCGAUGAAUGUCUCCAAAGAUGAUGCCCCCAUGGGGGUGGCGAUGAAGACGUCGCCAUCAUCCGAUCCAGGAGGCCCCUCAAUGCCUCCAACGAGGGCUACGACGCCCACGGGCGCUGCCGUCAAUGGUAGCCUCCUCCAGAUAUGAUGUUGCCCCGGAAAGAAUGGAGCGGGGGACGCCCCCACCAUCGCCUCCAACAAGGAAAAUGGCACCCACGGGCGCCGCCCAUGAUGGUGGCAUCCUCACCUACUUCAACAGCCAGGGCACCACUCCACCUUGACUUGACCCGCCGCCGGGAAGCCACCGCGAGGCAACACCCACCGACUAGAUCCCUUUGGAUCGACGAUGAAGACAACCAAAGGUAGAGGGGGUCUGAUACGUCUCCAACGUAUCUAUAAUUUUUUAUUGUUCCAUGCUAUAUUAUAUUCUGUUUUGAAUAUUUAAUGGGCUUUAUUAUACACUUCUAUAUUAUUUUUGGGACUAACCUAUUAACCGGAGGCCCAGCCCAAAUUGCUAUUUUUUUGCCUAUUUCAGUGUUUCGCAGAAAAGGAAUAUCAAACGGAGUCCAAACGGAAUGAAACCUUCGGGAACGUGAUUUUCGGAACAAAUGUGAUCUAGAGGACUUGGAGUGGACGUCAAGCAAUCAAGGAGGAGGCCACGAGGCAGGGGGCGCGCCUACCCCCCGGGCGCGCCCUCCACCCUCAUGGGCCCCUCGUAGCUCUACCGACCUACUUCUUCCUCCUCUAUAUAUCUACGUACCCCCAAACCAUCAGCAGAGGAGCCAAAACCCUAUUUCCACCGCCGCAACCUUCUGUACCCAUGAGAUCCCAUCUUGGGGCCUUUUUCGGCGCUUCGCCGGAGGGGGCAUCGAUCACGGAGGGCUUCUACAUCACACCAUAGCCUCUCCGAUGAUGUGUGAGUAGUUUACCUCAGACCUUCGAGUCCAUAGUUAUUAGCUAGAUGGCUUCUUCUCUCUCUUUGGAUCUCAAUACAAAGUUCUCCUCGAUUCUCUUGGAGAUCUAUUUGAUGUAACUCUUCUUUUUGCGGUGUGUUUGUCGAGAUCCGAUGAAUUGUGGUUCAUGAUCAAGAUUAUCUAUGAACAAUAUUUGAAUCUCCUCUGAAUUCUUUUAUGUAUGAUUGGUUAUCUUUGCAAGUCUCUUUGAAUUACCAGUUUGGUUUGGCCUACUAGAUUGAUCUUUCUUGCAAUGGGAGAAAUGCUUAGCUUUGGGUUCAAUCUUGCAGUGCUCGCUCCCAGUGGCAGUAGGGGAAACGACACGUAUUGUAUUGUUGCCAUCGAGGAUAAAAAUAUGGGGUUUAUAUCAUAUUGCAUGAGUUUAUCCCUCUACAUCAUGUCAUCUUGCUUAAAGCGUUACUCUGUUCUUAUGAACGUAAUACUCUAGAUGCAUGCUGGAUAGCGGUCGAUGUGUGGAGUAAUAGUAGUAGAUGCAGGCAAGAGUCGGUCUACUUGUCACGAACGUGAUGCCUAUAUACAUGAUCAUACCUAGAUAUUCUCAUAACUAUGCUCAAUUCUAUCAAUUGCUCGACAGUAAUUCGUUUACCCACCGUAAUACUUAUGCUUUGGAGAGAAGCCACUAGUGAAACCUAUGGCCCCCGGGUCUAUUUUCCAUCAUAUUAAUCUCCCGUCAACUAGCUAUUUCUGUCACCGUUUAUUUUGCUUUCUUUACUUUUAAUCUUUACCAUAAAAAUACCAAAAAAAUUAUCUUAUCAUCUCUAUCAGAUCUCACUCUCGUAAGUGACCGUGAAGGGAUUGACAACCCUUUAUCGCGUUGGUGUCGAGGUUCUUAUUUGUUUGUGUAGGUGCGUGGGACUCGAGCGUGGUCUCCUACUGGAUUGAUACCUUGGUUCUCAAAAACUGAGGGAAAUACUUACGCUACUUUAAUGCAUCACCCUUUCCUCUUCAAGGGAAAACCAACGCAGUGCUCAAGAGGUAGCAAGAAGGAUUUCUGGCGCCGUUGUCGGGGAGUCUACGCACAAGUCAAGACAUACCAAGUACCCAUCACAAACUCUUAUCCCUCGCAUUACAUUAUUUGCCAUUUGCCUCUUGUUUUCCUCUCCCCCACUUCACCCUUGCCAUUUUAUUCGCCCUCUCUUUCCCUUCACCUCUUUUUCGCUUGCCUCUUGUGUUCCGUGUGCCGUCAUGGCUAGUCCUUUAUCUACUCCUUUGUCUCCCGAGAGUGAAGUUCUUAAUUUUAAACAAAGGGAGGGAGAAAAUCUAAAAGAUGCUUGGUACAAAAUUUGCAAUGCGCAAAAUAGAUCUACUAGGAAGCAAUCUACUUCCGUUCUUCUUCGCAAUUUUUAUGUAGGCAUCACUCCUUGGAAUAGAUAUAUUCUUCAUACCAUUACCGGAGGAAAUUUCUUGGGUAGCCAUACUUUUGGUUCUUACAAUGCUGUGAUAGAUUGUUUGGCCCACCACCUCUUUUGGUUAAUGGAACUACUUUAACUUUGGAACAUGUGAUGCAACGGCUUGAAAUUAUUGAAAAUAAAGUUGCUACCAUAGAGUUGAUUGAAAAUUUGGAUAGAAAGAUCCACAACCAAGUUACCCAAUACGGAUCUAAGGUAGGAGUGGCUCUUAAUUUUUUUAAAGAAAAGGAACCUAUGGUUAAUGAAAAGAUAGAUCAAGAUUCCACAAGAAUUGAUAAAAUUGAGGAUAUUAUUUCCAACCUAGGGUCUGCUUUUUCUUCCGUGAAAAAUACUCCUUCUAAUGCUAAGAUUGCCAAAUUAAUGUAUGUUCCUAAAAAUAAGGGUGAAACUUCUAGUAAGGGAAAUGCGGACCUCAAAUCCAUAAGUGUUCACCCCAACUUUCUUGCUAUCCUUAAGGAACCUUUUGCUACAAAUGAUUUUCUUGAUUUUGUGCCUAGGAGUUUGAUAAUUAAUAAAAAGAAAGCGAAUCCUAGGGGUUAUAGGUGUCUUAUUGAAGAAUUGCCUACCAAAGAUGGCAAUACCUAGAUCUAUCCUUGCUUUUAUGCCUAGCUAGGGGCGUUAAACGAUAGCGCUUAUUUGGAGGCAACCCAAUUUUAUUUUAGUUUUUUUUCUUUUUGCUCCUGUUUAGGAAUAAAUCUUUGAUCUAGCCUCUGGUUAGAUUUGUUUUUGUGUUUUAAUUAGUGUUUGUGCCAAGUUAAACCUAUAGGAUCUUCUUGGAUGAUAGUUAUUUGAUCUUGCUGAAAAUUCCAGAAACUUUCUGGUCACAAAAACAAUUGUUUAAAAUCACCAGAACAUGAUAAAAUACUGAUUCCAAUUGCAGUAGAUCAAUAAACAAAUUAUUUAGGUCGUCUUAUUUUGGUAGAAUUUUUGGAGUUCCAGAAGUUUGUGUUAGUUACAGAUUACUACAGACUGUUCUGUUUUUGACAGAUUCUGUUUUUCGUGUGUUGUUUGCUUAUUUUGAUGAGUCUAUGGUUAGUAAAAUAGUUUAUAAACCAUAGAGAAGUUGGAAUAUAGUAAGUUUAACACCAAUAUAUGUGUUGUGAAGUUUUCAAGUUUUGGGUAAGGAUUUGAUGGAUUAUGGAACAAGGAGUGGCAAGAGCCUAAGCUUGGGGAUACCCAAGGCACCCCAAGGUAAAUCUAAGGACACCAAAAAGCCAAAGCUUGGGGAUGCCCCGGAAGGCAUCCCCUCUUUCAUCUUCGUCCAUCGGUAACUUUACUUGGAGCUAUAUUUUUAUUCACCACAUGAUAUGUGUUUUGCUUGGAGCAUCUUGUAUGAUUUGAGUCUUUGCUUUUAGUUUACCAUAAUCAUCCUUUGCUGUACACACCUUUUGAGAGAGACACACAUGAUUCAGAAUUUAUUAGAAUACUCUAUGUGCUUCACUUAUAUCUUUUGAGCUAUAUAGUUUUUGCUUUAGUGCUUCACUUAUAUCUUUUAGAGCACGGCGGUGGUUUUGUUUUAUAGAAACUAUUGUUCUCUCAUGCUUCACUUAUAUCAUUUUGAGAGUCCUACAAAACAACAUGGUAAUUUGCUUAAAUUGAGAAAUUAGUCCUAAUAUGAUAGGCAUCCAAGAUUAUUAAAAACUUUCUUAUAAGUGCGUUGAAUACUAAGAGAAGUUUGAUGCUUGAUGAUUGUUUUGAGAUAUGGAGGUAGUGAUAUUAAAGUUGUGCUAGUUGAGUAGUUGUGAAUUUGAGAAAUACUUGUGUUGAAGUUUGCAAGUCCCGUAGCAUGCAUGUAUGGUAAACGUUGUGUAAAAAAUUUGAAACAUGGGGUGUUCUUUGAUUGUCCUCCUUAUGAGUGGUAGUCGGGGACGAGCGAUGGUCUUUUCCUACCAAUCUAUCCCCCUAGGAGCAUGCGCGUAGUGCUUGGUUUUUGAUGACUUGUAGAUUUUUGCAAUAAGUAUGUGAGUUCUUUAUGACUAAUGUUGAGUCCAUGGAUUAUACGCACUCUCACCCUUCCAUCAUUGCUAGCCUCUUUGGUACCGUGCAUUGCCCUUUCUCACCUUGAGAGUUGGUGCAAACUUCGCUGGUGCAUCCAAACCCCGUGAUACGAUACGCUCUAUCACACAUAAACCUCCUUAUAUCUUCCUCAAAACAGCCACCAUACCUACCUAUUAUGGCAUUUCCAUAGCCAUUCCGAGAUAUAUUGCCAUGCAACUUUCCACCGUUCCGUUUAUUAUGACACGUUUCAUCAUUGUCAUAUUGCCUUGCAUGAUCAUGUAGUUGACAUCGUAUUUGUGGCAAAUCCACCAUGCAUAUUAUCAUACAUGUCACUCUUGAUUCAUUGCCCAUCCCGGUUCACCACCGGAGGCAUUCAUAUAGAGUCAUACUCUGUUCUAGUAUCGAGUUGUAAUCAUUGAGUUGUAAAUAAAUAGAAGUGUGGUGAUCAUCAUUCAUAGAGCAUUGUCCCAAAUAAAAAAAUAAAAAAGAGAAAGGCCAAAUAAAAAAAAGGAAAGGCCCAAAAAAAUAAAGAAAAAAAGAGAAAAGAAAAUAAAGAAGGGACAAUGCUACUAUCCUCUUGUCCACACUUGUGCUUCAAAGUAGCACCAUGAUUUUUAUGAUAGAGAGUCUCUUGUUUUGUCACUUUCAUAUACUAGUGGGAAAUUUUCAUUAUAGAACUUGGCUUGUAUAUUCCAACAAUGGGCUUUCCCAAAUGCCCUAGGUCUUCGUGAGCAAGCAAGUUGGAUGCACACCCACUUAGUUUCUUUUGUUGAGAUUUCAUACAUUCAUAGCUCUAGUGCAUCCGUUGCAUGGCAAUCCCUACUUCUUGAAUUGACAUCAAUCGAUGGGCAUCUCCCUAGCUCGUUGAUUAGCCGCGUCAAUGUGAGACUUUCUCCUUUUUUGUCUUUUAUGUAUGAUUGGUUAUCUUUGCAAGUCUCUUCGAAUUAUCAGUUUGGUUUGGCCUACUAGAUUGAUCUUUCUUGCAAUGGGAGAAGUGCUUAGCUUUGGGUUCAAUCUUGCGGUGCUCGAUCCCAGUGACAGUAGGGGAAACGACACGUAUUUUAUUGUUGCCAUCGAGGAUAAAAAGAUGGGGUUUAUAUCAUAUUGCAUGAGUUUAUCCCUCUACAUCAUGUCAUCUUGCUUAAAGCGUUACUCUGUUCUUAUGAACUCAAUACUCUAGAUGCAUGCUGGAUAGCUGUCGAUGUGUGGAGUAAUAGUAGUAGAUGCAGGCAGGAGUCGGUCUACUUGUCACGGACGUGAUGCCUAUAUACAUGAUCAUACCUAGAUAUUCUCAUAACUAUUCUCAAUUCUAUCAAUUGCUCGACAGUAAUUCGUUUACCCACCGUAAUACUUAUGCUCUGGAGAGAAGCCACUAGUGAAACCUAUGGCUCCCAGGUAUAUUUUCCAUCAUAUUAAUCUCCCGUCAACUAGCUAUUUCUGUCGCAGUUUAUUUUGCUUUCUUUACUUUUACUCUUUACCAUAAAAAUACCAAAAAUAUUAUCUUAUCAUCUCUAUCAGAUCUCACUCUCGUAAGUGACCGUGAAGGGAUUGGCAACCCCUUUAUCGCGUUGGUUGCGAGGUUCUUAUUUGUUUGUGUAGGUGCGUGGGACUCGAGCGUGGUCUCCUACUGGAUUGAUACCUUGGUUCUCAAAAACUGAGGGAAAUACUUACGCUACUUUACUGCAUCACCCUUUCCUCUUCAAGGAAAAACCAACGUAGUGCUCAAGAGGUAGCAGGGUCACAUCGUUGCGUGACCGGCGCCAUGGCCAUAUACACGUCGUCUCGAGGCGCCCGCUCAAGAUCCACCGUCACAACCAUGCCUCCAAGCCGCUCCGGAUGGACGCCCCGCCGCCGCCAUCACCCCCCCCCCCGCACGGGCUUUGCCCAGCCGGGAUCCGACGGCGGCAGGAGGGGAGGCAGAGGGGACGAGAGGCGGAGGGUAUCGGGAGGCAUCAACCUUCGCAAUGUACUUAAAAAUAGUUUAUGAAAUGAAGAGAUUGACAUUUGUAUCUUGUCUCUAUUGUAUUUUUUGACAUACGGGAUAUAUCAUUUCUUCAUAGCUUUGGGAUCAAAUUUGUUCUUGUUCCUGGAAUCCAUGUCAAGAUAGAUAAGCUCUUUGCGGAGAGAGGUUAGUUGUGUUCUGACCCCGUCACUUGUGGAGUGUUAAUUACCAUAUCCUUGCUUUAUUUCUUGCUAUAUGCAUGAUUUGAUACAAUAGCAAGUAAGAAAAGUAUCGUGGUAUUGCAAAGGAGGAAUUCUACUCGUUGAUAAACUUCACAAAUUUAUACCAAAUAACGUACAAUGUAAUCACUGGAAGUGUAAAUAUCGAUGACGAAUAUCUAACCACUGAAUUUGUAGAUCUCAUAUCUUGUUACAGUUUUGGAACUGAAAAGAGGUCUCAAAUUCUUAAUGUUUGUGGUGUUGCAAAAAAAAUACUAGAUGCUAUGAUCUCAUCAUUUAUGCAAAUUUUACCAAUGUAGCAGUUCAUGCCUUUAUGAUUUUUUCUAGGAAAGAAGGCUAAGUAUGCUAGUCACUACUGUAUCACCGAUUUAGAUGCAAUAGAGGCUGCAAUGGAGGCAGCGGGUAGAAUACGACUAAGUAUGGAAGCAAAGCUAUCUCCUGGACCCCCAAUGUUAAAUCUUCGCCGACAUGGUGUUAAUGGCAGUUGGCAUGAAAAGACUAAUAAUGUUGCAAGUGGAAAUUUUCUUGUUGUUAAGGUUAGUUUACCUGUGUUGCUUCCUUACAUCAUACCAUCAUGGUGCAUUUGUACUAUGGAUCACAUAAAAGGAUUCUAUGGAGUUAAAGAUUUAGGCAAUAAUUUGUUGGGGGAUUACUGGACCAAGGAUAUCAUUUCUCAGCUAGAUCACGUGCAAUAUAAUUGGUGAGACAUUGUGCUAUGGGGCAGAGGAGGAUGCUGAGGGGAGGAAGGCUGGGGGUAGCAAAGUACGGAAGAGAAAGGGAUAAAACUUGGUGGGAACAAUUUUUAGGCCAAUCUGCCAUAUUUAUUUCUCUAAUCCAUGAGCAUGCGCAAAGUCAUUUUGAGCGGUUCCGGCAUGUGCCGGCAACCAAUCUAUCGUUCAUGCAUGCAUUAAGAUUCGUGCCGCUGUGAAUAUUCUAUUCUCAUUUUCUACUAUACUGGGAUAUACUCCAUCAAAUAUAGCUAGUAGCCCCCACCUUUGUCCCUGAUAUGACAAGCAUGGCAGCAUGUGACAGCCCACUCUCUCUCCCUUUCUCACACAUAAAUCCAUCCUUUUAUUUCACCUUAGCUAAAUUAAAUUGUCUGUAUCAUUUAAACUAUAAGUUUGUUUUUGAAAUAAUUCAUAUAUUUGAAGUCAUGGCGUCAAGACCUUUAGAAUUAGACCAAUAUUGGAUACAUUUCAAACACGUCUAAAUUUUGAUGUUUCACAUUUCAUAUGUGAAACAAACCCAUUUCACUAAAAAAUUGUGAUUUUUAAUAGAAAUAUGUCAAACCAAUCUAUUUCACAGACCUUUUUUACCCAAAUAUGAAACUGAAAUGUCAACUUGUGAAACAACUUAUUUGAAAUUGUGCAACAAUAUAUGUCAAAAGAGUGAAAUAUGUUAGAUUUGUGAAACAAGUAGUGGAAAGUGAAAUGUAGGUUCUAAAUUGUGAAAUAGUAAAUGCAGAAAGUGAAAUUGUAAUGUAUCAUUGUGAAACUAAUUUUUUGGAAAUGUGUAACAGUUUAUUUGAAAAGAGUGAACUAUGUUAUUUUCAAAAAUGUGCAAUUGAAAUAAAUUUGAUUUUUAUAAAACAAGCCAGUGAAAAGUGAAAUGUACAUUCUGAAUUGUGAAAUAAUAAAUACAGAAAGUGAAAUUGUAAUGUAUCAUUUGUGAAACUAAUUUUUUGGAAACGUGUAACAAUUUAUUUGAAAAGAGUGAAAUAUGUUAUUUUAAAAAAUGUGCAAUUGAAAUAAAUGUGAUUUUUAUGAAACAAGCGAGUGGAAAGUGAAAUGUACGUUCUGAAUUAUGAAAUAAUAAAUACAUAAAAUGAAAUUGUAAUGUAUCAUUGUGAAACUGAUUUUUGGAAAUGUGUAACAAUUUAUUUCAAAAGAGUGAAAUAGGUUAUUUGAAAAAAUAUGCAACUAAAAUGUAUGUUAUUUUUGUAAAACAAGGUAGUGAAAAGUGAAAUAUAGGUUCUGAAUUAUGAAAUAGUAACCACAUAAGGUGAAUUUGUAAUGUAUCAUCAUGAAACAUAUUAUUUCAAAAUAUGAAAUAUGUUAUUUGAAAAAUGUUCUAAUGAAAUAGAUGUGGUUUUUGUGAAACAAGGCUAUGAAACUGAUUAUUUUGAUAUGUGAAAUAUGUGUUCGAGUUUAAACAUGGUCGAAAAAUAUUCAAAAUUGAUCUCAUUUUAAAGGUUUUGUUGCAAGGAGUUCAAAUAUAAAAAAAAUCAAAAAUGAAUAUAUGGUUUAAAAGAUAUGGAUGUUUCAAAUUAGCCAAGAAGAAAGAAAUGGUUGGAUUUAUUGAGUGGGAUAAGAGAGAGAAUGACUCUAUCACACUGUCAUGCAUGCAUGUAAAGUACGCUGGUGGGGGCCUGCUGCUGAAGAAAGGGUGGAAAUACGAAGAUGGGAAAUGGAAAAGGAAAAAGCAAUACAAAGAUACUUGGCCCAGAUAGUGUUAGAUGGCAGCUUCCUAAUGGAGAUCACCUUUGCAAGUACCUAGCGGAACCACGCAAUUUUACUUUUUGCAUGAGCAUGGCAUGCUAGUUAGAGUGGCAGACAAUAGAUGCAGUUGGAAUGGGUCAUAUCACAAUACAUGCAACGACACAUAAUAUCUUAACUGAUUUAACUGCUAAUCAAACUCACCGAGAGAUUUAAGGUCAUUUAACCAAUCCAGGUGUCAUAAUGCAUCCAGUGAAUGAAUCUUGAGUGUUUAAGAUAAAACCCGAUACCAAUAAGUAGCCAGCAACACUGAACAACCACUCUUUACAUUGUGAUUUUCUGAUGGUGUUCUGCUUCAUAGAAGUCGAUCAACUUUGAGUCCAGCUCUCCUAUCUCAUACAAACGAAUGAAACAUGCUGUAUUUUCUUAAGAAAUUAUACUCCCGCCAUAUUUUUUGAAAUUUAAAGGUUACCUCUCUUUCAUGGAAAGAGAAAAAAAAGUAAACUUCAGUCAAUGUGUGCAAGCAUCUGAAUGAUUUCGUUCUUGGACCAUCUUGGACAAUUGAUUUAUUUUAUCUUCCUUUGGCAAAGGCGAGGGGUUGUUGGUGGCAUUGAUUAUGGUUUCAUUGGUGAAGUUAAGGAAAUUGAUGUUUCACGAAUAAGAGAGAGGCUUGAUAGAGAUAGCAUAGUCAUUGUCAGCAAUAUGGGAUACUCCAGCGCAGGAGAGGUCUUAAAUUGCAAGUACUCUCUUUACUCCCCUCAUAGGAUACACCCGAAAAAAGUCGUGUAUCUUUAAUCAUGGGAAGUUUGUGAAAAGAAUAAAAAAUGUUAGCAGUUGCACCAUUAUUACUUGGAGUUACUAAUAUAGCUUUUGUUUGAUUCUUUUUAGUACCUAUGAAGUUGCUAUGGCAUGUGCUUUAACCAUAGAGGCAGAUAAACUUAUUUGUAUUGUUGAUGGACAAAUAUCUGAUGAGCAUGGUCGUGGUAUUCAUUUCAUGUCUGCCAAGGAAGCAAACAUGUUAAUCAGAGCACGUAUUGUGCAGAGUGAGAUUUCUGCAAAUCAUGUGAAGGUUGUGGGUGAGGAAGAUAUUAGGUAUGUCACAAACCUCCCCAUCAAACAGGAUAUAGAACUAGGUUUGAAUGGAUCAGCCAUUUUAAUAGGUUUACUGCAUCUUUCCGGAACGGUGUGGGUUUCAAUAAUGGAAAUGGUUUGUCUGACGAGCAAGGGUUUGCCAUUGGUGGGGAGGACCUGUUGAGCAGGUCAGAUGGCUACCUUUCAGAGUUUGCUGCAGCAGCAUAUGUAUGCCAUGUAAGUUUGGAGCUUCAUGUAUGAUAUUCCACUUUUUUAAUACUUUGCAUGAUGUGUUGAUUCCUGAUUGUGCCACAAAAGUCUCAUGUUCUUUCGUGCAGCAUGUAUGUUUCGUCGCUAUUAGCAAUGACAAUACACACUUGUAUACUGUAGGAUGCAUGUGUUUUCCAAAGUUCUUAAGAAUAUAUGCCUGCUGAUACUUUGAUUGAAAUUUAGCUAUACUCACUAUGCAUACCAUUGUGCAAACAUUCGAAUAAAGAACCACUAUCUUGCUCAAGUUCACAUUUUUGUUGACUAAUUAUCCUUAUGUAGUACAACAAUCUAUAGUAGGAUCUCUGCAUCUGCACCACUGCAUACAAUAAUCCAUAGAUUGCUAUGUUCCCUAACAUGAGAAUGUAACACACACAUACACACAUUGGUCUUGUUCAUUUUCGUUUGUCCUAAUUAGAUGUUCCUCUUUUUAUCAUUUCAGGGUGGUGUCCAAAGAGUGCAUAUCAUAGAUGGUACUGUUGGUGCAUCAUUGUUUUUAGAAUUAUUCACAAUAGACGGUGUUGGAACAAUAAUUGCUAGGUAUAAUCCAACUUGCCCUUUUUCUUAUGUUUGUUGUCAUGGAACAUAGCAGCUUUGAUGUGUAAUCCCAUCAUGAUUUCAUACAUGUGAUGUUCCUUGGUGCUCCGUGAUCUUUUAUGCAUUUCCCUGAGAUUGACAAAAACGCAUUCCCUUC